UUCCAUUUAUGAAUGAGCAUCGACACUAUAAAUACCCCUUCUUAUAUCAAGAGGAUGACUUCCGGCAAAAGAGAACGAAUUACUCCCGAAAGCUCAGAAGUCUCAAAACACUUUGUGAAGAACUACCAAGGUUCCAGAUAGGCUGUUCUUUCACCAAUCCGAAGGCUUAGAAGUUGUCAAACUCCGAAGAGUCACCAAGUUGCCAAAUAGCCGACAUCUUCACCAACUUAAAGACGAAGAACAAAUCACCACGUGAAACCGCUCGUGGAUCAAACCUGAUCAACAUCAAGCCUCCACGGCCCUUGAUCAACCCUUGUCUUCAAGUCUUCAACAAAUCAAAACCUCUACCAAGUUCUUCAACAAACUCGUGGAGAAUCAACAAGCACCGAACACACGUGCUGAUUCAUCCCCCGUCAAAGUUGAAGAACGUUCACCACGUGACACUGCUCGUGGCCUAAGUCCGAUCAAGAACAAGCCUCUAUGGCACUUGGUCAAUCAACUUCUACAAAUUGUCAACACGGCAAGAAGUCUAAACUAAAACCAUUCGAUUCAAGAUCAAAUGCUCGUCACCCUUGGAUCAAAUCGAUGUCGGAAAUCGAAUCAGAGGAAAUUCAUGUAAAAGAAUACCCACAGAGAUUGUAACUCAUAAAUUCAUCAAUACAAAUAUAUUAUUUUGUACAUGUGUCUUAUGUUAUUUGUUAGAGGAUUUUCCAUGUUUACAAAAUUGGAACGUCCAGUGGGAGAUCUCUGCCUCUCAUCUCCGACAAUAUCGUCAUCCUCAUCACAUGGAAUCGAAGAUGAUGCAAAUCAAAUUGAAAAACAAGACCAACAAGGUAGCUUAGAAACCUUAGCGGUCAUGCUGCUCAUAAUGAGUCAUUUCAACUCACAAUAUUCGACCUUCAUUCCUCAAAGCAGUUUCAGCCGAUCAAUGCUUGGAAUGGGGGCGAACCUCAUGAAGCAAAGACAUUCAACAUCGUCAAGCAACUCGAGGAAACAUUAUCCUUCGCCCACAGCCGAAAUUGAUUCGAAGGUAGGUCCACACUUGGAAUUGCCUCUUGACAAUCAAAUUGAAGCGAUUCUAAAAGAUGACUCUUGCGCCAUGCAAGUCAUGGUGAUAGGAGUGACCAACGUGGAAGACAAGCGGCCCAAAUAGCCCAGUUGACUAAAGCGGUGAAGGAGCUCCAAAAGACCAUUGAAGAGAAGGAUGUAUAAAUUGCAUCGCUCAUGGAGAAGCUAGAAGUUCACCAUGACAAUGACUUAUAGAAUAACCUACAUGGCGAUAAGAAAGACACUCCUGGUGGAUCAUCUCCUGAACAAAAAGGAGAAUCAAAUUCCAUUCUAGCUUCAUUGUUAGCUUAACAACUUCAAGACAUGAUUGCUAACACAAUCAAAGCUCAAUAUGGUGGUUCGUCUCGAGAUACACUAACGUAUUCCAAGCCUUACACCAAGCAACUAGACAAUUUGAGGAUGCCAACCGGUUACCAACCUCCCAAAUUUCAACAAUUUGAUGGCAGAGGUAACCCUAAGCAGCACAUCGCGCAUUUUAUCGAAAGAUGCAACUCCACUGGCACCGAUGGUGAUUAUCUUGUAAAACAAUAUGUUCGCUCACUCUGAGGUACAACGUUCGAAUGGUUUACGGACUUGGAGCCUGAAUCCAUCGACAGCUGGGAGCAAAUGGAAAAAGAGUUUUUAAACCGCUUCUUCAGCACACGUCGCAUGGUGAGUAUGUUAGAGCUCACCAACACCAAACAAUGAAAGGGCGAGCCUGCUGUAGAAUUCAUCAAUCGCUGGCGUGCACUAAGUCUCAACUGCAAAUAUCGACUCUCAGAAUUGUCAGCGGUAGAGAUGUGCAUACAAGGCAUGCAUUGGGACUUGUACAUUCUUCAAGGAAUAAAGCCUCGCACCUUCGAAAACUUGCUACUCGAGCUCAUAACAUGGAACUCAGCUUCGCUAGCCGUGGUCGAAGAGAAUGUGACAUCAUUGAACCAGAGAAUCUAGAGUCUUUGGCAAUCAGCAAAACUACUGCAAGAAUCACAAAACGAGCCAAAUCACAUGACUGAAAGAAAUUUUAGUCGACUCAAGAUCAAGCAAGGAGGCAAACUCUAAAAGACAUGGAAGCUAAAAGUUACCCUUUUCCAGAUUCUGAUGUUGCUGAGAUGUUAGAAAACUUGCUUGAAAAAGAAGUAAUCAAAUUGCUAGACUACAAGCGUCCAGAAGAGAUGUAUCGCGUCAAUGAUCCAAAAUACUACAAGUACCACUAUGUCAUCGGUCAUCUGGUGAAGAAGUGCUUCAUCUUGAAAGACCUCAACAUGAAGCUUGCAUAACAAGAAAAGAUAUGUUUAGAUGUUGAAGAUGAUGUGGCUCAGUCAAAUCAUGCUACCUUCAUCUAUGAACAACUUAAAGCAGUGUCAUCGAUGUCUUUGUUGAGGGCAUGCAACCUGCCGAGCCUCAUGUAGACCACUUCACAGUCAUAACGCUCCUUGUCUGCAUGAGCAUAAACUGCGAAUGACCAAAAAAAAAAAGAACUUUGUCUGCACGAGCUUAAACUGCAAAUGACAAAAAAAAAUGCUCCUUGUUUGCACGAACUUAAACUGCAAAUGGCAAAAAAAAAAAAAUGCUCCUUGCCCGUAUGAGCAUAAAUUGCGUAUGACACCAAUAAAAAAAAACCUUGAACUACGUCAUGUCUUGAUCUCUUUCUCAUAAGAGUAUGUAGACAGCUUGGAAGAUGCUUCUGAGUUCAGUCAUAACAAAACAAGAAAAUGGGCUUGCUCAGGAAGUUGUUCUGAGUAUUGUCUUGUCAAAACAAGGUAAUGAGCUUGCUAUCAAAGUUUAUAUCGAAUUCAUUAUGGCUCGAGAAUUUGGAGGUGUCUCCCAAGUCAAAGAAGGGACAUACAAAACUUGAAAGAGGAAGCCUCUGCAUAAUCUUUGGAAUUCUACUCUUCCUUUCGCGGUCAAAAAUACGCAAAGCCUAAGCACUUUGAAUGAUUCCUCCCACUUUCAGAAAGUGGAAGAAAUCAAGCAUUUAGGUUGUCUGCCUUUUUCAUUUUGUCGUCUGUUGUUGUGCACGUAAAGCCUAAACACGUUGAGAUUAAUCCCAUGCCCAAGACGUGGAAGAAAUCAAGUAGUUAGGUGUUCGCGUUCUUCAAUUGCUGCUAAGGUACUCAAAGCCUAAACACUUUGAGUGAUUAAUCCCACACUCGAGAUAUGGAAGAAAUCAAGCGGUUAGGUGUUCGCAUUCUGCAAUUGCCGCCGAGUCACGCAAAACCUAAACACUUUGAGCGAUUCAUCUCACGUCAGAGGUCGAAUUAAUCAAGUGGUUAGGUGUUCACGUUCUUCAAUUGCCGUCGAGUCACCCAAAGCCUAAACACUUUGAGUGAUUUAUCCCACAUUGGAGGUGGAAAAAAUCAAGCGGUUAGGUGUUUGCGUUCUUCAAUUGCCAUCGAGUCACGCAAAACUAAAACACUUUGAGUGAUUCAUCCCGCAUCGGAGGUGUUCACGUUCUUCUAACGUCGUCAAGACCGCAACUCUUUAAUGCCCACACAAUCAACCCAAGAGAGAGGCUUGCACGUUGACCUAAUUCGUUUAUCUCUAGAAACCUGCAACAGAAGCACGCAAAAAAAAAAGGGACGAGAAAGAGUCAUUGAAUAAGUGUGCAAUUAAAUAUGCUGCUGUCAAAAAGAAGAAGAAACCAAAAUAAAAAACAAAAAAAUAAAAAUAAAAACAAAAAAAAAGAGAAAAAGGAAGAAAAGAUUGGCGUCAUGAGAAGAAUCACUAGUUGAUUAAAGGGGACUCGUUCAUCACGGCUCUUGUUUGCAUUGCCCUUGUACUGUACCGAGGUGAGACACAGAUCAAUGUGCACAUACCUUGUGAGCCGAAAAUCCUGAAACAAAAAAAAAAAAAGGAAAAGGGAAGAAAAGAGAGGCUAGGAGUGCUGCGACGUAAUUGCAUGGAGCCAUAUAGCAUACCUUGAUCAAGCUCCACUCAUGGCUCCGACAUGCAUCUUAUAUUCUUAUGUGACCAAAAAAAAAAGUAAAAGAAGAAGUGUGGACGGCUAGCUAAGGAAGAGGACUGGUGAUUAGGGCAAACCCUAUUGUGCCAUUUUAUAAGGUGAUUAUUCAUUCACUUUCCUAUUUGGUCAAGAGAUUGUCAAGCAUUGCAAGAUUUCGUACCUGUAGAAGACCAAAUGAGUUUGGAAGGUGGUAAUCAAUUAUACCAAUUAAGAGAUUAUCAUCCACGCAACAUUGAUAGGAAAACGAAGUCACAUAUGGAAUCUGUUCAAAUGAAGAUCAAAUCCAAUAGGUAUGCAGAUUGCUCAUGAUUCUCAAGCAUUCAAAAUCAAAUUCCAAAGGCGACAAAAAUGUCAUCAUGGUGAGGAAGGAAUGUAUCGAGGGAUCUUUCUAUAUACAUUCAGUGUUUAAAAAUCUUACCAACCUAAAUCAACAUAUUUGAGAAUCCUUACAAAAUUGAGGAAUCUUUACAAAUACGCGGAAAAAUACAAGAAUUCUUACAAAUUCUAAAAUUCCUACAAUCAUUGAGCCCAAGAAGUUGGCCCAGAAUCGUCCAAAUCGAAAACAUGGACUUCAAGCCGCGUCUCUGGCACAUGACGACGACAUGAGUAUGAGACACCUUGAAGUGGGGGCAUUUAUAGACGCAUAAAUUUAACGAGAAUAAUAAUUAUUAAAUUAUUCAGACGACACAUGUGGCUGACAAAUUGCAUAUGUGGCUCGUGAGUUGGCAAAGUUGAAAAGUUGUCAGAAUUGACACAUGGCAACAUGUGAAUGGUCGGUCAACAACAAAACCAUUAAUCCCGAUUAAAAUCAAAUAUUAAAUGUCAAUCGAUAAUUAGAUAUCAAUCAAAUCAAAUUGAUUAUCGAAAAAGAAGUCAGACAUUUAAUCAAAUUGGUGAAAUACCUUAUCAGUCAAAAUAAAUGGAUCAACUAAGAUAAUUAUGGUAAAUUGAAUAAUUGAAUCAAUCAAUCAAAAGUGAUUGAUUUAAUUAUAUCAUUAAGGAAAUACAACUCAAAUGGUGACUUCAAUGCAUUCCAUUUAUGGAGAAGCAUCGACACUAUAAAUACCCCCUCUUAUAUCAAGAGGAUGACUUCCGGCAAGAGAGAACGAAUUACUCUCGAAAGCUCAGAAGUGUCAAAACACUUUGCGAAGAACUACCAAGGUUCCAAAUAGGCUGUUCUUUCACCAAUCCGAAGGCUUAGAAGUUGUCAAACUCCGAAGAGUCACCAAGUUGUCAAAUAGCUGACAUCUUCACCAACUUAAAGACGAAGAACAAAUCACCACAUGAAACCGCUCGUGGAUCAAACCUGAUCAACAUCAAGCCUCCACGGCCCUUGAUCAACCCUCGUCUUCAAGUCUUCAACAAAUCAAAACCUCUACCAAGUUCUUCAACAAACUCGUGGAGAAUCAACAAGCACCGAGCACACUUGCUGAUUCAUCCCCCGUCAAAGUUGAAGAAUGUUCACCACGUGACAUUGCUCGUGGCCUAAGUCCAAUCAAGAACAAGUCUCUACGGCCCUUGGUCAAUCAACUUCUACAAAUCGUCAACACGAUAAGAAGUCCAAACUAAAACUAUUCGAUUCAAGAUCAAAUGCUCGUCACCCUUGGAUCAAAUCGACUCGGAAAUCGAAUAAGAGGAAAUUCUUGUUAAAAAAUACCCACAAAGAUUGUAACUCAUAAAUUCAUCAAUACAAAUAUAUUUUUUUAUAGAGAAAAUUAGAUAAAAACCCAAAAUACUAGACCUCUUUUAAGAUAAACCUAUACAUAUUUUUCUUUUAUUUUACACCCACUCCACAUAAGCAAACAUACCAUAUAAAGCAAAUGUCUAUAAUUAAUAGUUUUCUUUAUUUUUCGGUUUCUCUAAUUUGCCCUUCAGACAGUAGAAAGCUAAAUUUGGUAUAUUUCUCAAUUUUAGCAUCAAUUUGAAACUCAAAUACUAGCUAAAAUUUAGUUGGAUUUAACUUUGUCAUAAUCAAUUACAUUCUUUAAUUUCUUACCUUGUUAUUACUAACUUGAGUUUAUAUAUAUAUAUGUUAUAUACAGAAGUAUGUCAUUUGUAAUAGGAUGAUACUUUUCAUUCCUAAACUCACAUUUGUCUGUCUACAUAGUCGAAAAAUGUCCAAUUGUAGGGUACACGUUCUUGUUCUUUGAUUAAUUUUCUUCUUUUUAGGUAUAUUAUUAUAUCAUUUCUCAUCCUAAUCGAGAGAACAUUUUACUCUCUACUACUUACGUUUCUAAUGUACAUAUUAACUAGGGCAUGAUAUGAUAAUAUACCUAAAAAGAAGAAACCCAAAAUUGGGUUUAGGGUAUAGGGUUAAGGUAUAGGGUUUAGGGUAUAGAGUUAGGGUAUAGGUUCAAGGUAUAGAGUAUAGGGUGUAGGGUUUAGAUCAUAUAUCUUAUUCAUAUUAUAUUUUACUUUAUAUAUAGAUUAAAGAAUGAAUUCUUUUAAUCCAGGUUUUUUCAUAAAAAUAAAGAAAACUACAUGAUUCUUGUAAAUUAAUUGAAAAAUGUUAGUGUUAGAAGAAAAACUCAUAAUCAAGGUAUUUAAGACAACAUCAAUUAAGCUUAUUUAUUAUAUUAAUAUGUUAUAGUUGAAUGGUGACAAUUGUGUAAAAUUUAGAAAAAAUAGGACAUAAUAUUUAUCAUAAUUGAUACAUUUUAGAUGUCUAUCAGAUAAGAAUAUUAUGUGAGUUUUAUUUAAAGCCACUCUUCAAAAUUGAGUGUAUAUGAAAAUUCCCUUAUUUUAUACACGUGUCUUCUGUUAUUUGUUACAUGAAUUUUCGUGUUUACAGUCAUAACUAAAACACCCUUCUAGUGUUUUGAUAGGUUGCCUAAUUGUCACCGUUAAUGAGCCGUGGUCAGUUGGUUAGCUAGCUUAACCGGUGUCCAAGAAGUUAUGAGUACAAAACUCACAUGUAUUAGUGUAUAACUUGUUAUUUGUUGUUCUUCAUUGUUUAUUUUAUUUUAUUUUAUUUUUUCCAAUUAAAAUUUGAAUUUGAUACUGUAAUGUUGCCUUCCCAUUGAAAUUGAUCCCAAGUUUCACAAUGAAGAUGCGAACAACAACUCAACAACUAACAGGUAGCUGAUCCCAAAUGGAAGAAGUGAUGAUGUGAGAAAUGAGAAUUGGGAGAAACUAAAAUUAGUUUAGCCUUGUGUUUCAACUUGCCUAAAACCCCCAGCAAGUGCCCAUUGGAUUUGUUGUUAUAAAAACAGCACCUUGAAAAAUUGGUGAGAGAGCAAAGCAUUUGCAUGACUUCUUCUCUCUCUUCUCUACUUCUCUUCUGGACCUGACUCACUGACCUGUGCUUUGCUUAUAAACAAGGGCAGAGACAGAGAGAGAGAAGCAUUGGAGUUUGCUCAAUUUGGGUUUGACAUAAUCGCCCACAUUCAUUCAAUUUUCUUCUUUCUUUAAAGGCUCGAGCUUUGGAGCCUCCGAAGAGAGAAGGGUCUCUCUCUGUGUCUCCGCCAAUUCAAUUCAUGGGUUUCGUCUACUGCUGUCAUUGCAUGCUUCUCUUUCUCAUUUAUUAGCUCAAAGAUCUCACCUUUCCAAUCUCUCCGCCCUUUCAAUCGUUCUGGGUCUUCUGCGUUUUCAGAGCGUUGUGUAAAUGGCCAAUGCAUCUGGGUUCUUUACUACUCCUUCAGUUCCCAGCCUGAGGAGGAAGGUUCAGCCUUCAUUAGCCAUUUUUGGAUCUGGGUUUCGCUCCCCUGAGGGAUUCUCCAGGAGGGUAGUGUUCUGCUCCAGCGUUGAGAAGCAAGCUGGAGCUUCCUCCUCUACUGAAUCUAGAGCACCCAGGUCGGUUCACUACUUCACUUCCCUAUUUUCCUUAGCCCCUUCUUGCUUAAUGGUUUGGGUUGUAGUUUGUAGUUGUGUUUUACUUUGACUGUUGUAGUGUUGAGCAUUGGUUGGUUUUUGAUUAAUGAUCUUGUUUGAUAUGGAUUGCAUUUGAUGCAAAUGUUGUUUGUUUUGAUCAGUGUGAUUGUUGUAUGGAUAUCAUGCCAAUGAAUAGGCUCUUAGUGUUUGAAAGACGGAGAUUGAAUUGUCAAAUAUGUUCAAACUAUGUAGUUUUCAUGUAAUUGUGCUGUAAGCUUUAUAAUGAGCUUAUGUACUGGAAUUUCUGUGUUACCUGCUUUCCACUACAGAGCUUUGCCAAUAUUGUGGAGUCAGGAUGAACAAGACACUGUUUCUAAACUUUGAGUUGUCAAGGUAGUGUCAUCGAGGCUCUGAUUCAUUACCGAUCACAGGUUGUACUGGUUGGACCUUAAUUGAAAGAACGAUGUAUUUGAUGCAAAUAUAAUUUGAUGGUAUUUUAGUUGGAAUGCAUUUUGGAGUAAGGAAGUACUGAGAUCAUUGCAAUAUUUAGUCUACUUCAUUUGCCAGUUUGCUGGCCAAAUUUAGUAGUGACGUCUGUUCACAUGUACAAACGAUUUUGCCACAACAAAGAAGUAGGGCGUCUGGUUCUACCGAAGUUAUUGUAAACUUACGUUUGAAGGUUAAUCACAAGGUGUAUCACUUCCUUGGUACCAAAUGAGGUGUUUUUUUUUUUUUUUUUUUUUGGACAACUUAAUGAUAUGGAGGACUAAUGUCAGGGUAGAUUGAAGUUCAAGAGUCCCUCUGAUGUAUGUCAGUUAAUAGAUGAGGAUCCUAGCUUAUCCGGCAUCUGUACUGCUUUCUGCUAGAAGUGCUGACAGCAAGAAGAGGGAAAAAAAAGUCUCUGUGGGCAUGAGCUUCUAGCUUAUCCAGCAUCUCGAAUGAUCUCUUUUAGAAGUGCUCAGAGUUAAUUAGACUAAGCUCUGUGGAGGAGACGGACAGGCCUGAGUCGAGUCCAUAUUAGCAGAAUAUAACUACAACCUUUUUCUUUAUACCAGAAGGUAGAAAUCAUAAUUAUGCCGUGCCUCUUCUCUUUCCUGUUUACAGAGUGAAUUGGUAUCCCGAAAGAGUGGUAAAGUGUAAUAUUUUCCAUUUAAUGGUUCUUCGAUGCAGGACGUUACAGUAUCAUAAUAAAACUUUGGGGUUGCUUAUAUCACUGUUUUCACAUUGUAUGAUAGAGUUGAUGGUGGAUAAUGGAGGAAAAUUCUUCAAACUCUACCAGAUCAGUUUAUUCUCUUUUUUAUGCUAUGUGGUGUUGAAAGAGAUUUUUAUAUUGCAUGUUAUGAUCUGGUUAUCUUAUGAUAUGCAUUUUGUUGUCUUCCCCUUGCAUUUCUGUGCCUUCCCUGUAUCUAUGUGCUCUGUGUGAUAAACAAAGCGGCCUGGAACUUUAGUCAUGUUGGUAUUGAUAUUGUAUAUUGGUUAGAUGAAUGUCAGUUCAAGCUAGUAAAUGAUAAUCAGACUGAUUGUGCAUGUUCCCAAUGCUUGAAAAAUGUACUUUACAGGCUUGUCAGUAAAGGCUGCAAAUUAGUUGGGUGUGGCUCGGCAGUACCCAGUCUUAAUAUUUCAAAUGACGAGCUUUCAAAAAUAGUAGACACUAACGAUGAAUGGAUAUCUGUUCGUACUGGGAUUCGUAAUCGACGAGUUAUUUCAGGUCAGUUCAUACACUCUGUGCAUGAUAAUGUCAUAAAUUUAGUUAACUGUGAGCAGUUUGGGUUGUUUAGUUAGUUACCAUGCACUGAGCCUCUUGAUCCAGUGCCCAAGUUACUAUCUUAGACAUUGGAUAUGCAGUGCAUGACUGUUGAUAUGUAUUGACAUCUUUAAACUAUCUGAGGUGGCAUACUUAAUUAAGCUGAGUCUUGAUUACAGUGUGCAUGCUCAAUAUAGGAAAAGCCACUGAGCUUGAUCAGUCUGUGCUUGCUCAGGGUCAACUAGGUUAGCUAGCUGCAUGCAUGAUCCCUUUUAAAGAAAAUCUGUUUAGUUAUUGGCUUCGCCAAUGCUAUUUGGAAUGCUAAAGUGAUGAAGAAUACGAUGGGGUUUUAGCUGGUAUAUAAUGGAGCGAGGGCUUUCUCAUGGUUGCGGUUGAUAUUUUAACUGUUAUAUAUUGUAUCUCAAUAUAACCCGUACACAACAGUGCAUGUGUUGUCUCUGUUAGUCAUUGAGUUUAUGGUGUGCUGGAUAUCUUAAGGUUACCUUCUCUAGACAAUGACAUCGUUCUAAUGUGCAAUUUUUACAGGCAAAGAAAGCCUAACCUUAUUAGCAGCGGAGGCAGCAAAGAAAGCUCUUGAGAUGGCACAGGUUGAUGCUGAUGAUGUAGACCUAAUCUUGAUGUGCACCUCUACACCUGAUGAUCUUUUUGGCGGUGCUCCUCAGGUGUAUAUAAUAUAUAUAUCCUUUUGUCGGUAUAUCAUAUAUCUGGACUAAGUGGUCAGAUCAUACAUAUUAAUGAUUGAGCGUCUUAUGUUAUUUAAAAGAUACUUCUUUUUUUCAGUUCUUAUUACUUCCAUUCUCUACUGGCGAGUGAGACUUUUGAGUUCGAGUUGUGAAUGCAUUGUUCCGAACCUUUUUUUCUUCUUCUUGGUGGGUGGUUGGGUGGGGGGAGGGUUGGGGUACAUAAAACCUGACCUAUGGAUUUGUGGCUGCUUUUAAAGAAUUGUAUCUAUAAAGUUAUUUGCAUCAUAUAUAUCUGAUUAUAUGGAUUUGAUCUUUACUGGGUUUUAGUUGUCAUAGUCAGGACCUGGAAACUCCAAUUGAUUGUUUUGUUUGACCGUUUCAGGUUUGAGCAAUGUCAGUUAGGUUAAUUUGUUUCUUAAUAUCACAGUCUCUUUUUGCAUAUAAAGCUACUUAGUGCCGUCUCUAGAUUUGAUUGUCUCUUUCCAGCAUCAGGUUCUGGAGUAUGAACUUGAAUAAAUCUUCUGGCCUGAGCUGGAGAUGACUACUCUCAGUAUAGUCAGUUUGUGUAGGUCCAGAACCUAGUCAUGGCACAACUUAAAACUGGCAACUUGAUUCUUGAUGAACUUUCAUCGCCUGUUUACAAUAUAUCCUGAAAACCUCCCUAUGUUCUCUCCUUUAACUAAGCUAACUUGAUAAUUUUUCAAGAAAUCAGCUUGUAUUGGCCAAGUAAUCUGGUUAUUGUGUGUGUUUCUUGACCUUAGCAUUGCUUUUGGUGCGCUUGGCUCAAACAUUUUCCAAAGCUGGGAUGUCUUGUAGCAACUUUUUAGUUCUUUCCUUCGGUUUUCCCAUAAAAUUUUGUGCCAGUUGAGCUAUUUUAUUAAGAUCAACUAGAUAAUAAUUUUGUGUAACAAGAUUCCACUGCCCCAGUGCUUAAGUUGAUCUAUUCAGUAUGGUAACUGCUAGAGUUUGUAAUCUCAUAUUAUGUUGCAAUUUUAGGUUCAAAAAGCACUUGGCUGCAAAAAGAACCCCUUGUCCUAUGAUAUAACAGCUGCCUGUAGUGGAUUCGUAUUGGGUUUAGUAUCAGCUGCUUGUCACAUUAGGGGUAAGGAAUUUGUUUACUUUGAUGUGAGGCAACUGUUACUUCCAUGUUUGAUUGAUUAAACUGGUUUUGCACAAACUACAGGAGGCGGAUUCAAAAAUGUUCUAGUUAUCGGGGCUGAUGCUCUUUCUCGGUUUGUUGACUGGUCUGACAGAGGAACCUGUAUUCUCUUUGGGGAUGCUGCCGGGGCUGUUUUAGUACAGGUGACUUUAUGGCAUUACCUUACAAGUAGUUGCUUGAAUAUUCGUGAAAUCUUAUUAUAAACAAACUAACGGACAUUCCAUUGUCAAUCAUGCUUGUCAACAAAAGUACAGGUGACAAUAUAUUUCAUCCCACUUGUUUAACAUUGCAUUAUUUGUAGGCCUCUGACAUUGAGGAGGAUUUCUUACUUGGUUUUGAUGUUCAUAGUGAUGGUGACGGAAGCAGGCACGUGUUUUCUCCAUUAUUCUUUUAGUUUUCUCACCUUUUUAUCAAAUUGCCAUAUUUCAAGGUUAUCCUGCUGUUUAUAAAUGCCGUAUUUCUCAAUUUUCUUCACGUACAUGUGACUAAUGACUGUCUCUAAUUGCAGACAUCUAAAUGCUACAUUCAAAGGAAAUGAAACAGAUAGUGAAUUGGGUUCUAAUGGUUCAGUCUUAGACUUCCCUCCAAGACGAUCUUCAUAUUCUUGUGUUCAAAUGAAUGGAAAAGAAGUCUUUCGGUUUGCAUGUCGAAGUGUGCCACAAUCGAUUGAGAAUUCGCUUGCAAAUGCUGGUAUCCCUGCAUCUAGCAUUGAUUGGUUACUGCUCCAUCAGGUAUGACAAAUGAUUUUUUUCACAUUCCGCCAGGGACCUAGGUUUAGGUGGUUGAACGAGUUCUCUGCUCUACCUGUCAAGUAAAACUCCUGAUUAAUAAAAGGGGAGCGUAUAUAUAUCAAAAGGCAAAGAACUUCUACCUUAUAAUUUUACUGAUAGAAGAUGUGAGAAAUCUCUCCCAAUAUUCAUUGUAGCGAGCUUGUUGUUGUACCUUUUGUUCUGAUAAUGGCUAUAGGAUAUAACAGAUAAUGACAGAGUUAAAUGAAUGCAGGCAAACCAGAGGAUUCUUGAUGCAGUUUCUAGUCGCUUGGAUAUCCCAUCAGAACAGGUUAUAUCAAAUUUGGCGAACUAUGGUAACACAAGUGCCGCUUCGAUUCCUUUGGCCUUAGAUGAAUCUGUAAGAAGUGGCAAGGUGAAACCAGGCCAUACAAUAGCAGCUGCAGGCUUCGGAGCAGGUCUCACGUGGGGUUCGGCUAUUCUAAGAUGGGGCUGAAAACCUCAUCCUAGUGCCAAGAUAGAAGAGUAUAUGCUAUGAAGCGCAGUUUUGAAAUUCUUGCUUCACAUUUCUCGUGUAUCAUCAUCAUCAUCAAAUGAACAAACCUCAGCCCCCUUUUGUUUGUUUGCCUUUUUCUUACUUGGUAGCUUUGACACCUUCAAUAAGAUUUGUAUUCUUUUCCUCCGGUCCAAUAAUGUAUUUGUUUCUUGAGUCACAAGCCAUAUGUAGAAUAACAAUUCUGGUACCAAAACUAAGACAGUUAUAUGUAUAUCUCAUUGUCUCUAUUGGACAUUUCCUUACAGAAGAGGAUCUUGAAACUGAAUCAAGUGGGAUACAUAAAUAUCUUAAUACAAAGACUAAUCAAGUUAAUAAUUUACACUUGCUGAUAACAAGAAAGAGCAAGAAAACCUCAACUAUGUCACAGAACAAAAACUUGACCUCUAUGAACCCUAGACCUAACCCUCUGCAACACACCCUCAAUUGCAAUGUCGAAAGCAUCUUUCUUGGUUCUUAAUCCCAUUGAACUUCCAUGCUUCCUGUACAUGAUUCUUGGUAUCAAACCCAACACCUUCUCCCUCAUUCUCCUAACCUUAGCUCUUGGUAUAUUCCUAAGCACAUCCAGAAUCCUUGUGUCUUUGAACACCACGUCCUCCUUCGGUAUAUACACCGAAAACUCGGGGUACUGAUCCUCCGGCAAGUGCCACCCGUACUGCGUUCUGGCUGACAUUUCCUCAAAGAACACGGGGAUGCAGCCGGCGAGAAUGCUGUCGAAUAUGGACCGUCUUGUCGGGGUGUCUCCCGGGGGCUGCAAGCAAAAGCUAGCCUGCAGCAUUGGCUUCAUGAACCUAAUAGGGUCAUGCUCACAAAUCCCAUUAGAGCAAUCCACAAUGUCACACAGCUUCAAAUACCCGUGGACAUUGUGGGUCACAUUUCUGGUGCUAUUCACACACUCAUUCCGAAUGCUCCGCCGAAUGUUGGGGUUGCCCGUGGCGACGCCUCCGCCGCCGGCAAAGAGCAUCAAGCAAGUGCGCUUUGACCUUCUUGCCCUCUGUAUCCAGCUCUGGAGUAACGACAGAUUGGGCGGGUGAAACGACGUGGGAUAAGGAACGGCCUGCUCCUGCCAAGGCCAGGCGCGUGACUCAACCGUCAAAGCCGUGACGUUGAAGAAGUGGGGGAGUUCCAGAAGCGACGUGCCCCACGUGGGCGGGUCAGAAUCCAACGGCUGAGAGAAGUCCCAGGCGGGUCGGGCCAGGACCAUGAAAUGGUCGUGCCCCGAGUUCCGAUCCCACACCUCCGGCAUGUCGUCCUGCAGAAACCGGAAAAGCUCAAGACCCUGAUCGGCGCUGGAGUUGACUUCGGGGCCGUAGAGGUACUUCAUGGCGUCGAGCCCCGUGUAGUAAGGAAGAUAAACGGCGUCAGCCUGGACGGGAUCUGACGUCAGACAGGGAUAUUCGAGCAUGCGGCGGUGGAAGAUGAGCUCCAUGAUUAAGGAGUCGGUGCGGUACCAGCUCUGGGAGAGGUUGUGGGUCUUGUGGCCGAGGCCAUGGUUGGGCAGGAAGGGGCACAGGUCGCCGAACAAAGGGUAGCCGGAGCAGGUGGAGAGGAGAUCCAGGUUGAAAAUGGACGGGAGCCGCCGGAUGUGGAUCCAGCGGUCGUCGCAUUCCGUUGGAUUUGUAUCGGCUUGAUCGAUUACAGGAUCGGAAGUGACCAACGCCAAGAAGAAGAAGAAGAAGGGGAUUAGCAAAGCGGAUGCCAUAAUUGAAAGCGAGAGAAUUGGGGGGGGUUUUGAAUUCACUCCUCCAUGACGGUGAGAGUGAAUUGUGAAAGUUCAACGUCCUCUCACUUCCACCAUUAACGAAACGGAGGAGUUGAUUUAAAGGUUUUCCUCUCUCUUUUUUUAACUGCGUGGUGUUGUUGGGCGGUUUGACCCGUCAAUGUCGGUGGUUUUUUACCCUUUUUUGGCGCCUUUUCUUUUCUCUUUUUUUACUGAUGAGGUUGGUUUGAUUAGCAAGAAUGGGAGAAAUCCCUCUAGGUGGAUCCUAAAUAAGGGCUUUCCUUCAUUACUUGGGCCUGCCUAUGUACCCAAAGACAAAAUGGUCUAAAAACCCAAUCUUCCCAUUGUAUAUAAACCGCAGGAAUGGCCCUUUAAAUCCUUUCAUUUCCCUCCAGCUCGAUCUCUCCCAAAAACACCAAGAAGAAGAUAGAAGAAAGGAGCAAGAAUCGUCCAAGAUCGAUCGAUGCUGAAAGCCGUAGGAUUGUUCGGCGGCCGGAACAAGAAGAGCCCGCCGCUCUUCAAGGACUACUACGCCGAGUGGAUCACGACCCUGAAGAGCACCCUCCUCCCCUCCCUCCACCAAUCCCUCUCCGACACGUCACCCUCCUCCCUCCCCCGCCUCUCCCUCCACGUCGACGCCCUCCACCGCCACUUCCAGUCCUACUACGACUCCCUCGACGCCGCCGCCCAAAACGACGUCGCUCAGAUCCUCUUCCCCGACUGGCGCAACCCUCUCGAGAAGCCCUUCCUCUGGCUCGCCGACCUCCACCCCUACCUCUUCACCAACCUCCUCCGCUCCUUCCUCGACCAAGACUCCGACGACGACGACGACGACAGCCUCGUCGUCCAAUUCGGCGACCGCCCCUGGCACGUCGCCACCGCCUGGCGCAGCCCUUCCAAUUCUCUCGCGCAGAAGGUCGAACAGGUGGAGUGCGGCCUCAGGCUCAUGGUGCCAGCGCUGGCGGCGCGUGCCAGGGACGCGCAGGCCGCCUUCGUGGAGCGCGUGGCCAAGAAUUGGGGGCCCUUCGACGGCGGGAAGAAGGAGACGGCGAAGGCGGUGAUGGCGGAGGCGAUGGAGGCGGAGAUGGAGGAGAUGGUGAGCGUUGUGCUGGAUGCGAAUAGGCUGAGGAGGAGUGUUCUUGCCGAGAUCAUCGGGGCCACCAGUGUUUACCAGGCCGCUCUGUUUCUUGAAGGCCUGGCCCAGUUUCUUGUUGGGUUCAGAAACCCGGAGUUGCUGGCCCAGUUUGAUCAGUGCAAGACUCCUCUCACUAAGCAAUGCCGCUUGGCAGUUUGAUUCAGAAGGGUUGCUCUCUUUUCCACUCUUUCAAAUUCCUCUGCUUUUUUCUUUCUUUUUUUGGAUGAACACAUUUGGGUUGAUGCAGUUUUGUACUGAUUGUUUCUGUGCUGGUGUGGACUUGGUGCAGGGAAUUGAUGAGCUUGUUCAUUCAUAAUCUGGUAGCUAGAGAAGGCUUCAGGUUGCAGUUUCUUUGAGGGCGUGGACACAUUCUCUGUCAGUUGUGAGUGAAUGAAGUUUCCUUUUUCGAUUUGGUAUUCGCUGUUGUGUAUGAACUGAUAUGACCAAGAUUGAAUCUUUUUGAAUGUGAAUGAUUUAGUGCUUCAAUGAGUGGUCUUUGUAAUCAAGUAGUUUUGAUCAUUGUUCUUGAGAUAGAGGCAAACAGCAAGUAGUGUACUGUGGAAGCCAUGCCGAAUUUUUCAAUUCACUAAUAAAGUUGUCUAUGUUUUCUAUGUGCUGUAUGGAUGGAUUAUUUGAUGCCAGAAAUGAUUUUGAUAGUAGCUCUAGUCGGAUUAUGGGAUUAGUAGACAUUGUGAUAAAGCAUGGACUGUGGUUUAGGUGUGCCAUAAAAAUCAUCAUAAACUUUUAUCUCAAGUGACAGAGGAAAGGAACAACAUUAUUUGAGUGGCUAGAUCCUAUCAUGAGGAUGGGGAUGCAGAAAAGUAUGACCACAGGAAAUGGCACAGUAACAAGCAGAGAUGUAGCAGCAGUACCAUGUUAGAUUGCUAGGAAAUAAGUCCCUCAAUACCUAAACUGGAAGUAAAACCUUACCUCUUUAUCUAGUAUUAUCUGCUAGUGGAUGUUUUCUGGAGAAUUAGUUGGGGUUUACAUCAUUGUGUCUCUUGGAUAAGUAAAUGGAUUGUGACUAACUGACUGGAUACCAGUCAUUUCCUGCAUUCUGGUAGAGAGAAACUGCAUUGAACGGUGAUAUGCUUUUGUAUGUUACUCGAUCAAAGUACUCGUUUUCUCACUAAGUAGUGUGGUUAGCUAUCAUUGUUAGGGCCUUAUGGAUGCCCUUCCUAGCGUCCGGGCUUACUGGUUAAGGCUUCUGCUUAUCAGUCGAUCACAGUAUUCGUUUGUUCAUCAUUGUGGCUUGGAAUUUCUUACAGCUUGUUUGUAAAUGUAUAACAUUUGGCCCAAGAAGAUGAAGAAACUAUUAAAAGCUUCAUCAUGGGCUAUCUCAAAGCUUUCAGAUCAUAUUGAGGGAGAUGUGAAUCUGUGGCUUUCAAAAUGAAAACCCAAAUUAGCGCUCAUAACUAAUUGCAAAUGUAACAUAAUCAUGUGAAAACUAGUCAGUUUACUUAGGCUGCUUCCCAAGCCCAUAUCAAGGAUGCCUUUGGGCAAAACAUAUUACUCCCACAUAAUUUCAUCUAGUUCAUCAUCACUCUAUGGUCUAUUUAUAUAUUUAACUGCAGUUUAACCUUAUCUAAAUCCUAUGUGGGAGAUGCUAGCUGUUGAUAUUUGACCUGGAUGAAAACUACAGCACAUAUGUUCAUGCAUUCUACAGAAGUAAAAUCUCUGUCCUCCAAUCUUAGCUCCCCACUAAAACAAGUUUGUAAAUGAUAAAAUCCAUCAGGUUUCAUUUAAUUUGAUUUCCAUUUAGACAUCUGCAGAUCUGAGCUCCUUUCUUGGCUAUGAAGAAUGACUCAUUUGUGAGGAUCGGAUGCCAAUAAGGACUAAUUAAUGAAAAACAACUGAUCAAUAUAUAGAGUCAUAGACCAUAUAAGGAAGGUUUAAGGUUUACCUAUCUGCAAGUUGUUGCUGCAACCCAGAUGGCAUAAUCACUAACCUAUUAAUUAGUUUACUCGAAAAUUUGGAAGAUGAUUGACUAAUGUUGAUCUCGAUCAACUUCCUUGUCCAUGUGGUCCUCUUGAAAUUAAACAAGAAUACAACUAAUACCCUGAAUUAUAUUUAGUCUGCAACUCUGCAUAUCUUGUGACUCGUUUGCAGAUAUGUCACCUGAACUGCGCUAGGGGAUCGAGCUCGAGGUACUAAAUUUUUCGUCGUGUCAUACUCGAUCAGGGCAUUAGAACAAUUGUAUCGAAAAGUACGCAUCUGAUCAGAGUAACUAUGAUUAUUUCUUGUACGUUUAGAGAUAUAUUAUUAAGUUUACUAACUGGAAAAAGUACGCAUCUGGUUUCGCCUUAUCUGAUCCAAUGUUGUCAGCAUGAAGUUCUGAACUGCAAUUCUGUGUAAGAAUUGAAGAACUAACGUGUGCAGCUCGCCAUAGCUAGCUAGUUGUCCAAAAGAAAAGGAAGCAAAACCAGAUAUAAAAUUGAAAACUCGAUUGCACGUUGUAAUUCCAUUAGGAAAUGCUAACGAACGUGACUUCCAACUCAUUUUAUGAUAUAUAGAAUUGAUUCAGACUUGCAUACUUAUGUUUGUUUCAAUGUUAUAUUGAAACUUGAUCUGCUGCAGAAUCGAUCAGCAGGUCAACCUGGCUUUAAUUUUUUCGAAGUCUUUUAAUUUUUUCGAAGACGCAGCCCAUGUGUCUUGCUUAAUUUUAACUGUUUGUUCUGCUCUCUAAAUUGAGAAAAUUAUAAUCUUUUACUCAGAAGUUUUGUCUUCAUAAUAUACUUGUUUAAUUGUCAAAUUGCUCAUUAUGAAACAGUUACUAUUGCAAUGAUCAAAUUGUGUUGAAGGAAGCAUUUGUCUUGUUUAGUUUUAAAAUGUUAUCCUUCAGCCAGAUUGAUCUCUUCAUCUAUCUUAUCUAGAUCUAGCUAGCUAGCUACUUGCCAUUUGUAGUUUUAUCCAUCUCUAGCUUAUCUCUCAGCUCUCUCGCUCUUCUAUGAUCUGUUUCUGCUCUGCAUUAGUCAUAAUAAAAAUCUUCAUCUAGCUAGCUAGAAGUGGCACUUGUUAAUUCUUGUAGGUAGGCAAUUACUGUAUAAACUAAUUAUUAUUGCUAAACAUACACAGUGAUAUAUAGUGUUAGGAAUGCAUCGAUCAGACUGAAACCUCUACUGCGCGCAGUAGUGGCUUUAGCUCGCAGAUUACUGUUAAAUCUAUACAAGUUGGAAGCUAGGUCAAUAUGAAGUUUAAUAUGGAUACAGGAUACUCACUCAUUAAGUGAAGCACAUGAAAUAUGAUUCAGCUAGCUAGCGUCUGGUGGCCGACACCACAGACAGUGCUCAAAUAAUUCAAGUUGCUAGCUAGCUAGCUAGAAACAAAUCGAUUCCCAGUACUAUCAUCUUUCUACUAGCUAGUCUCACUAUGUAUAAGUCAUCGCAUUGCAUGAGUAAGUUGGUACAUGUUGUAAGGUAGGUUUGUGGCCAGGAAAUUGAGAUACAAUAAUCAAGAGCUUGUUCGAUCGAUCAGAUGAAUAUGCAUCAAGCAUCAAGCAUAUGUUCUUGCUAUGUGGUUAUCGAUCGCGCGCACUGAAGUCGAUUUAUAUUAUAACAUGCAUGCAGCUUAACAGAUCAAGCAAUGGUUUGUGGUUGAGAAUUUGAUGAUUCUACAAUAGUGCGCGCUAGCUAGCUCUUGCAUAAUCUGCUUGUCUCUCUAUUUACAUAUUGAAAGCGUUUGCCUUACUGAUGCUUAAUUAAACAUGCUGAUUUGUGGCUAGGUAUAUGAGCCAAGACGAUCGAGACCAAUGUAGCUAAGGGAUUCAUCAGCUGCAUGCUACGGUGUAAACUAACCUUGAUUGGUUUGACUUGACAUUAACAAUGAGCCAAACCAAACUGAUUUUGAAAGCAACUGUGAAGAUGGACUGGUUCACUGAAAGUAAUUUAAGUCUGCAUGCCCUGAUAUUAAAAGUUAAUCAAACUGAUUCCAGUCAAUAAUUGUGGGAAAUAAAUUACUUACUUUCACUACCAAUGAACUGAUUUUGCAUGGGGUAGAUUGUUGAAUUUUGCAUAGUAUCAGACAAAUAUUACUUCCUUAAUUAUAUGAAUGAAGUAGCAAUCGAUCAUAUUUUGAUAAUGUUACGUGGUAAAAGUGUAUAUAUAUAUAUAUAUAACUUAGAGUGCAAGACUGACCUUAUGAGAUCAUUGAUGAUCUAAAUCGGGAACUAUAUAUCCAAAACUAAAAGUAACCCACCCUGGUUAACUACUGUCGUAAAGUUACAUGCAUGUCUUGCAUAUGUACGUAUUCUAUAUUAUAUAUGAUGCAGUCAAUUUAUGAAAUUUUGGACACGACUUGACUUGUUGAAUUGGCAUUAGAUCGACGACCAAAGUUGUCUUACGCAGUUGUUAAUAAUUACUUUGGCUUACAAAACAAGCUCUGUUAAUUAUACAUGCAUAUAUUUCCUACCAUCAAAAAUGGUUUUGCUGACUUUCGAUUCAUUUGCAAGACGUGACAUUGUGGAAUGGGGCAAUGUGGUAGCUAGCUAGAGUACGUGACAUUGAUAUCUAUGUAAUUAAAGAAUAAUUGAAAGAACAUAUAUAUGACAACAACAUAUAGAGCCUCCUAGCUUUACAAGGAACUGACUCGAUCACCGGUCACCACCACCUUGGAGAUCCAUUCUUCCAAUUAAAUGGGAUUUUGACCUCUUCCACUUAAUUGAAGACCAUAUAUUAUAUCUAAUUAUAUGAUCCGGUCAAUCUUAACUAGCUAGCUAGCUACCCACUUAUUUUUAAUUGCUAGCUUAUUAUACGUGGUUAUUUUCUUCGAUCGCGAUCGGGCGUUCUCUUUGCGUAUUAGCUUUGCGCAUUACAAAAUGCUAGAAAGAGUACACACUUUUAGACCACUGGUAAUAGUCAACAAUAAUUUACGUACGUAGUUCAAAGAUACUAGUAUAAACUGAUAUAUAUACGGGGUUUGUCACUAUAACCUACCUAACAAAGAUGACAAUACGUUCACCGAUGAUUGGAUAUCUAUCACGUACGUACAUGCACGCACGCUACAACAUAUAUAUGCGAUGAAUCAGUAGUACUUGUUGGUUCAUUUGCGAUCGUAUAAAAAGUUUCUCUAUAUCGAUCGGCCAGACUCGUGAGAUCGAGGAAUUCAUAUUCCAUUUAGUCCCGCGCGCAAUCAUUCAUUCAUGACACCUCUACGCCGGCCUCUCAUAUAUGCCUCUUAAUUUGUCGAUGGAAUCGAAUACCAUUGUCGACUCCCUAGCUAGAUCCACCACCCAUGCACGCACUCGAUUAACUAAUUACUUGGGCAUUGGGGGUAGGCUAGGGAUGACAAAAACGAAAUCAAAGUGAGAAUUGAAAUCCGACUCUAUAAUGCUUUCUUUGCUUAAAAGUCCAUGCAUGGGCGUCCACCGAAUAUAAAAAACCCAGCACGUACGUGAUAAAGCAGCACCUUCGAUUCGAUCAUGAAAGCAGCCCAGCUAGCUCUGUUAAAAGAACAGCUAGCUAGCUUUCCUUCCACGUCCCAACUCGCUGGAAGUUGCAGCUGCAGGUUCAUUGCUAGCUCUUUCAACACGUACAUGCAGUAGCACGUCGUGGUCGGGUCGCCGACUCAGGCACUCAUCAGCUCCAACUCAGCUCCCGGCCUACCACCUCAGACCUCGAUCACUCACACCCGGCCGCGCGGGGCCCACAGAAUAUACUACGGAUUGGUACAGUUGCCCUAAUAUUUGGACGGCCGGGAAGGCUUCCGGCCACGUCAUCGUGCAGCGACUGUGACAUCAAUGAUUGGAAAAUGGGGAGCAAAGGGGAUGGCGAGGGAGAUGUUUUUGUCAUCGACAAAGAGGACGAGGUUUUGCCUCGUGUAUCCGAGGUGCCCAGUUGACUCUCAAGUCCCUACGUACCUUUACUGGUUCUGUUUUAACUUUGCUUUCAUAUAUUGGAAUCUUUCUCCAUUCUUUCCUACAACCUUCCUUCCUUCCUCUCUUUGUGUUUCCCUUUUCGAUUAAUUGUUAGCCUAACAAUGGUGGAGGAUUGAAAGACGGAUAUCCAACCAAGUCUAGCUGAAACGAAUUGCCAUAAAACGGCAAAUUUUAUGCGACAAUUUUGUACGUUGUUAAUAGCUAAUGAAUCGAAUAACAAUAAACAAACAAAAAUAUCAUAGUAAGUACAAUUAUAAAUACAAAUGAGAAUGCUCAAUUCUUGCAUCGAUUGCUAGAAAGAUGGGCAAUUCCUAACUGGUCGGGUUUGAUUUUAAACAUCCAACUUAUUGAUGAAUCGUUAGAUUUCAAAUUAAACCUAAUAAGUCUUGAAUUGGAAUCGUAAUUAGUAAUUUCUGAGAGAAGGGUUAAUAGCUAGUUUUGGGAUUUACGAUUGUUAAUUAGUAGGUUAAGUGAGAUCACUAGUUUUUGUAUUUGGUCAGUACGUAACUACAUAAUUAUUUUUCUACAAUAACUAUAGACAUUUGUUUCAGUACUUAUGGCAAUGCACUAUAUGUAUGAGAUAGAUAAUUCCAUUUAUAAUUUACUAUUUUGUUUCUUCAUGUUGGCUCCAUGCACUGGAUUUAUGUAGCCAUGUAGGGGUCGGAAAAUAGUAGUUAGGAUUGUUUCCAUUGGAGAUGUUCAAAUUUUAUGUGAAAUCCCGAAUUUUAUGUAAAUAAUUAAUCUAGACUAUAUAUAAUUUAUUUAUUUAUAUAUAGAUAUAUAUAUAUGUGAGUACAUGUUCGUUUUAGCAACGAAAAUAAAAGUUCUCUUAGAACUAAACAAAAGAAUUUUCAACUAAAAAAUAAUUAGAAGAAGAAUAUAAGACUUCAAAUAAACUGAAUGUUCCAAAAGUUUUUGUUAAUUUGUGUUACAAAGAAUCAAAUAGAGACCUAGUUAACAUCAUCUGUGCUAAAAAGAGAAAAAGAAAAGAAGCAGUGUUUAUUUGUGAUCAUCUUUGGUACAGAAAUUACAUAUAGCUGCAAAUUAUUGGACACUUGAUAUUAGUACAUGUUUUCUCAAGCUACAUUAGAUCAUUUUCUUUAUUUGUAAACUUGUGCUUCAUGAUUUCCUUGAGAAUUGCUGAUUUCAAAAAGCUUCCAACAAAGUUUUGCCCUAUUUCAUGUGUUGUUUUUGGAUAAAACCAUUGGAUUUAACCUACAACAUUUACACAUCAACAAAUCAGAAAAAAAUUAUAAUUACAUAUUGGAUUUUAUUUUGUCUUCUUUUCGCUAGCUGAUAGCUUGUGUGUAACAUAAAGUUACACAUGUUUUAUUGAUUCACCUAGUAGAUAGCUUGUGUGUAAAACAUGAGUGUAACACAAGGCUAGGUUACACAUGUUUUGUUGAUUCACCUAGUAGAUAGAUUGUAUGUGACACAAAGUUACACAUGUUUUACACAUCUUAACCUAUACUAAACCACACUUUUGCUUGUGUUUUGCACACUUUUGCUUGUGUUUUGCAUGUAGUUGCUGAAUGAGCAGCUUAAAACUUGGUCUCAAAUAAGAAGGGAAAGUUAUGGGGAAUCUCAAGUUUUGUUUUAUAAACUUGUUAUCUUGCUUUGAUCGAGUUGUUUAUAUUGUUGUUGAAGGUGGUUAUAUUAUGUUUAGUUUUUUAUCAAGUUAUUAUUUGAUCAUAUGUUAAAUAAGAAAUGAAUGAAGUUAUGGGGUUGAGGCUAUUACGUACUUGAAAGGGACCAGCAAUAUUUGUUUUUGUAUACAUGUAGGGAGAGAAGCCUUUCGAUGUUAUAUUGAUAAAAUGAUCUUACGGCAAGAAGACAUUGGUGACCAAUAAUAGUAGAAGAGUAUCAACAACUGAAACCUAAAAUUAUGUGCAUGCACUUAUAUUGAAAUUAUGUGCAUGAUAUUUGCUCUACCGAGUCUUUUGGCUCACCCCUCUAUGAAUUUGUGCAGAUGUUACACUUGAGGGAUAUAAAUAAUUUAAAGUGUAGGAGGAGGAAGAGUGAACAAUUAGCUUACUGUUUUGAUUCAUGACUAUGUAAUAAGGCUUAUUCAAUAAGCUUACUUUCCUGUUUGUUGUAAAAACAAGACUUAUGAAAUAAAAUUCUCUUUCACCGAGUCACUUUGAUUCUAAGUUUUCUACAUAAUUUCUAUUUGCCAAGGUUCUCUUAACUUUGACAAGUCGAAGCUAUCCACGUCUUUACCCUGAAAAAAAAAAAAUUUCUCAAUUUCUGAGUCAGGGUGUGACAUUUUAUUUCUUUUAAUUUGGAAGAUCGAUUUCUACUAGUUAACUGGUUACAUACAUACAUUAGUUUUGUAUUAAAUAUUUUAUCUUACCUAGUAAUUAACUAGCAACGUCCUGGAUUCCCUUUUGACAAGAAAAUACAUUGUUACAAACGAACUACAUUUACUCUUUUCUUAUCAUCAUUUCAUUUCAUUGCUUUUGAGAUGGAAUAAUUGACCUCAAAAUUUAGGGCCUUCAAGAACAAAGUUGUGCAUUUCAUGAUGUGAGUCUUUGAGAAAAAAAAGAAAAGAAGAAGUUAUAUAUAGUUCAUGUAAGUCGAUCGUUUAUGCAUGUUGUUCAUAUUUAUGACUAAAUUUCAGAUUUUCAUGCUCCAUAUAUUUUCUUUAGACAUGCAAAACACAAAUUUAUGAGUUUAUGAGUUCGUGUAUGUACUUUACUGUAUCACACGAUCGACUGAAAUUCACAAUUGGUCUUAAUCGUUAAUCAAGUUGAUAAUUAAGCGCGAUUGGUCGUAAUAAUUCAUAUACAGUAUGCAUGGUUCGUUUGUUAGUUGUCUGUGACUUGUGGUCGAUCAUAACAAAUCCUAGCUACUUCUAGCUCUCGCUGGCUGCGCGCUAGAGAUCUGGCAUUUUCUAUUAAAUUUUAUGCAGUUUAUAUAAGAUAAUCUUCACGUUUCUAGUGUUAUGCUUAAAUUUUUGGUGGAAUUUUGAGAAAUUUUUUUAAGACUUGGUUAGCUUGAUUCAAGUACCUGAUGAGGACCUUCCUACAGGCUACAUCAAUAUGAAUUCCUUGACUGAAGGAGAAAUUUUAAAUGUGGUGACCUAUUAGCUAGUGUCCUCCAACAAACAAGUCACUUUUAUUAUGAGAAAAUUUGUUUACGUGACUAAAAAAUUAAGUGUACGGCUUUAAAUUAAAACAGAAAAUAAAGCACGCAAUAAUCCAUCAACAAUAAAGCAUAUUAUUAGCUUCUCUCUUCUACCGACAUGAAAAAUCUAAAAAGACGACUACCACCGCAUACAAUCAAUCCAAGCUAACCGGUUACUUGCGAUAAAACAUCAUUUCCAACCCAAAUUUGAGUAGGAUCUUCUAUAUAUUCAUUCCACUUUUCAGGUUUUUACUAUACCUCAGUAAAUCAGUAAUCCUGUUCCGGCCAGGAGUUCCAAAAAUAUCAAACCAACAAAUUAACAGAUCAUUUCUCAUUCCGGUAAGGCCAUCAAGAACAAAAUAUACGCGUACGACGACUCUCUACAAAUUAUGGUGUUGUACAUGGUCAUUACUUCCAAAUACAUCGUACCUGGUCUUAUAUGGUUCUCACGAGAAAUAUGCGACAUAUAUAUUGAUGGACGAAAUAUUGUACUUCCACUUGUAAGAGAAGGAAGAACAAGUGAAAGCAACUCAUCACUAGUUUUCUUUCAUUUGGUACGUGUACAUCUAUUUAGGAAUAUUAAACUCGAUCUCACCAAAUCAAAAUAUAUAGAAUUCGGCUCUUGCCUUCUCGACAUGUUGAAGGGUUAUUAACUUCUUCUUCUCUCUCUCUCUCUAUAUACAUAUGAACAACUGAAAAUAUAGAUAUUGUCACUUAAUUUGAUCGAGUAAUGUGUAUUUGAGUAUGCAAUAUCACGAAUGUGAAGUUUUUGUUUUAAUUUCUUCUGCCAAUACGCAAAUCCAACAUGCCGCGUGCAUGAUUUCGAAUUACUGAUCACUGUUUUCCUAAACGUAAAGCCAUCACUUAGUUGAAUCAUACCUAAAUUGUUGCCUAUCUAACAAACUUCGCAAAACUUUUUUAUUUUCUGUGUGUUUGUAAUUAAUUAGGAAGAACGGAUGAGUCACUUUUCAUUGCCGCAACCAGAUGAAAGUAACGGCAUGAGCUGCUGAUAAUUGGAGUUAAACAAAACCAAAUAGUAACAAAUAUAUAUGAAGAAAAACAAACUAAUACCACAAUCUCAGAUGAGCAUGUCAUUAUGUGGUCUUUAAUUAUGUCUCAUGCUACAAGUUUGUUUUUUAAGGUACCUUAAUUACUCCAACGAAUCCUAAUUAAGCUGCUUAUGAUUUUCUCUUCCGGUUCUAAAUAGCUAGUCAGACUAUAUGCUUUAGUGUUGCGAAAGAUCUGUAUGUAGGACAGAGGUACCAUGUCGUGGUUGGUAGCGCAGACUAGCUAAUUAGUGUGCAUGCAUAUAUAAGGUGCUCUAGGUAUUCAAUUUCAUGAAGAAAAUUUAAUUUAACACUCAAAUCUUUUUAUUAUUAUUAUUGAUUGAUCGACCCUACCGUCAUGUAGUCACGCAGGUUUGCGGUACAUGAAACUUUAAAUUUCUUGAGCUUAAUUGAAGAAUUAAAUUCAGUUUACUCCCAUGAGGUUUGGGAAUAACUUCAUGUUAAUCCCUAUGCUUUCAGUUUCAUCAGUUUACCCCUCAAACUUUUGAAUUUUCCUCAAGCGUGACCAAUGUCCUAUAUUCUGUCCAAAUCGGACGUUAACUGCUGAUAAUUUUAAGAAUUAAAUUCAGUUUACCCCCUUGUGGUUUGGGGGUGACUUCAUGUUAGUCCCUACACUUUUAUUUUCAUCAGUUUACCCCUUGAACUCUUCAAUUUCUGUCUGUCAUGCCCAAAUUCUCAUAUUCCGUUUGAAUUGACCUUUAAUUAUCAGCAGUUAAGGUUCGAUUUGGACAUAUAAGGUCCGAUUUGCUCAAAUUCUAGAUACUGGCCUCACAGUUAAGGUUAAAAUUAUCAGCAGUUAACGUCCGAUUUGGACAGAAUAUAGGACAUUUGGUCACGCUUGAGGAAAAUUCAAAAGUUUGAGAGGUAAACUAAUGAAAUUGAAAGUAUAGGGAUUAACAUGAAGUUACUCCCAAACUUCAUGGGGGUAAACUGAAUUUAAUUCUAAUUUUAACCUUAACUGUGAGACUCGUAUCUAGAAUUUGGGCAAAUUGGAUAUUAUCUGUCCAAAUCGAACAUUAAUUGCUGAUAAUUAACGGUCAAUUCAAACGGAAUAUGAGAAUUUAGGCACGGCAAAUAGAAAUUGAAGAGUUCAAGGGGUAAACUGAUGAAAAUAAAAGUGUAGGGACUAACAUGAAGUCACCCCCAAACCACAAGGGGGUAAACUGAAUUUAAUUCUUAAUUGAAAGAAAUGAAACCUACCACAUGAUCUAUUGUCUUUUUUUGGAAACACAUACUAACUAUCUAUUUGAUGUUGCUUAAUCAAUUUUAGUCAAAAAGUCACCCUCAAAUAUAAAUGGUAUAAGCAAUAAUAUAGGGUUUAAGAAAUAUUGUAAAACCCACGAAAAUUAAAUUCAUUUCACUGAUCAACUAGGGUGUUAAUAGAGGAAUAUGAUGCCACAAGCUUGGCAGAGGAUGUGGAAACCUCGUCUUGAAGGGAUGGAUAGUACAAGCACUCGACAUUUGACCCAUAUUGAGGUCCAAAUCGAGUCAGUUUUGGCAAUUUGGAUCCAAACUGUUGGAGCGAUGAUUUGAAUGGCGAUAGAGAUGGCAGCAUGAAGAAAUGGGAGGACUAAUUUGGGGCACCUAUUGGGUUGUGUGCCCUUAACAUUUCUAUUUGGGCAUGGCCUACAAUGUUCACUAAGGUUUUGACCUUUGAGCUGAGUUUUAAUGGUAACGUCUUAAAGGUUGAAUUGUCUCUUAUCAUGUAAUGAAUUUUUCUAAGUGUGCCCUUAACAUUCCUAUUUAGGCAUGGCAUACAAUAUUCACUAGGGUUUUGACUUUUAAGCUGAGUUUUAAUGAUAUGAUUAAACGUCUUAAAUGUUGAAUUGUCUCUUGUCAUGUAAUAAAUUUUUCUAAGUGUGCCCUUAAUAUUUCUAUUUGGGAAUGGCGUACAAUGUUCACUAGAGUUUUGACAUUUGAGCCGAGUUUUAAUGAUAUGCUUAAAUGUCUUAAAUGUUGAAUUGUCUCUUGUCAUGUAAUGAAUUUUUCUAAGUGUGCCCUUAACAUUUCUAUAUGGGCAUGGCGUACAAUGUUCAUUAGGGUUUUGAUAUUUGAGCCGAGUUUUAAUGGUAUGUUUAAACGUCUUAAAGGUUGAAUUGUCUCUUGUCAUGUAUGUAAUGAAUUUUUCUAAGGGUAAAUCAUACAUAAUUAUCUUGCUUAUCAAUAAAUGACAUGUCAUAUGUCUUCCAAAAAAUAGUAAUGAGCUGGUACUUGACAUAGAAUUCCAGAUUUCUCAAUUUUAAUUAAGAAAUGUUGAAAACAUACCACAUGAUAUAACUGUCUUUGUUUGGAAAGCACAUACUAAAUAGCUAUUUGAUGCCUUGACCUAGUUUCUUUUCUUGAACGAGACAAGAGAUAGAGAGAUGAAGGCAAUUGAAACUUAACGCGGACGAAAAAUUAAUCAUGCCACAUGACGUAACCGGUUUUAUUGGCAAAGUACCUAUUUAAUACCUUCACCCAAUUUUCCCCCUCUUCCAUCUCAUGGACCAAACUACAUUUCAUAUUUAGCAAAAAAUAUGUGAUGGCAACAAAAGAAGUUUAUGGGUAAAAAUUUGAUGCCUAUGGUCUCAUACUUUCUCUCUCUAGCCAUUUUUUUUAUGGAAUUCUUUCUAGCUAGUUGUAUUUUUAAACGUCUAGUAGUACUUUGUAUCAAACAAAAAAACAAGUCUAAUACGUUGUAAUUUUCAUAGUCUUCAAUUCACAUGUUGUGGAUGACAUAGCAUGAUAACACCUGUGACAUUUUUGGAAGGUUUCCAAUAUUUUUCUGAACAAACGGGGGGAAAAAAAAACCAGUAAACGUAACGUAAAUUCAGCAAAACUGCUUUGGUAAUAGAAUUCCCUUUCUACCCCUAUGUGACCUCCAUGACUCCCACCACUCUUUAGCUAAUGGGUUACUUUUUCCUAACCAAGUCCCACUUGAAAACGGAGACUUGACCGAUCUGGUGGGUCGUGGAGCGCGUGACCCGGUGGCACGAGCUUCGCGCGGCUUUGUGAGAGAAAGCGAGCCACCUUUUCAGAGGUGGUGGCACCACCACUAGUGGCGGGGGUUGGUAUGUCUUUUGCCCAAUUAUCGUUCGAACCUUCUUUUUUCAGACCUCUAGAGCAGCUUUCCAAAGAAAAGAAGAAAGGUGUGCUCUAAAGCACGUGACACCCGUUCACCUUCUGUGAGGCUACUUUUGUUUUUACUGUGAGUAAAAAGUGACAAGAACGACAUGUAAAUGUUUUAAUUAUUUUUACAACAGUCUAAACCGUCGUGUUUUGACUUGAAAUUAGUUUCAAUCACAACAUUUUGUACUAACUAACAUCAUAACAAUUUGUAAUUUUCUUCAACGAAUUACUCAUCAAUUAUGAGUAAGGUGGUGUUUCUUGAGAGAGACGAGAUGAGACUCGAUCGAAAAGAAAAUGAGUGAACAUUCGCUUGAGAGGCGUGAUUCAUCAAGUCAAUUCUCCUCGACGUUUCAAGUUUUCAUGAAGUCUACGAUCCGAAAAAAUCAAAGAAAUAGUGAGAUGAUUGUCAUUAUGCAUGAACAAGCGACUCAUUGGUGAAAGGGCUUUUAUAUUUGCUUGUUGAUAUUUAAAUUAUUUGGUGUGGUGUUUCCCUUUUCAACAACCAAAUAAGCUUCCUUGUUAAACACGUCUACUAUGGUUAUUCGUCAGUUUUUUUUUGGGUCUCCUCGAAACUCUCUAUAAAUACCCAAACUCUCCGCCUUCAGAUCCUUCCCUUUCCCCCAUUCUCUUAUUUCUCUCUUUCUGUUACAUCCCGUAUCUCCCCCUCGCCAUUUUUAGGGUUUUCCAGCUAUUUUCUCGCCGAGGUUAGAAGGACACAGCUCUGCUUUCUCCCUUCCCCAUCCAUAUUUCCUUUCUGAUUCUCAUUGGUUUCUGAAAUGUCGGUCCCUCUUUUGAUUCCCAGGUUUCGGAUUCUUUCUUGAUUCAAGAUCUCGAUCGUUAGCUCUCCUGUUGGUUGAUAGAUAAAACUGAAGCCCUUCGUUUCCUAGCUAGCUCCUAAUUAAUCAGGUCAUUAUAUACUAUUUUCUCAAAUCUCUUUCAUUCGUUUGUGUCGGUAAUUUUCUUGUUACCGAUCAUAGAUAUGCAAAUGCUGUUCGGAUUUCCAGACGGAUUUGCCUGUGGAGGAAACUCCUCACGUAUUCCGUCGGUUCAUGAUCAAAAUCAAAACUAUUUGGCAUUCUUUCAUUAUGUUCUCUUCAGAUCGAUCUUUAAGCAAAAAUGGCGGACCUUUUAAAGUUUGUUGCAUGAAUGGUUGGCCCUGGAACCAUUAUUUGCUGUCGAUGUUUGCAGACAUGGUUUUGGGACCGUCCAUGAUCGUAUGCAUCUGGUUUCUGUAUGAUCAAUUAUUUUUCAUAUUUUGUGUUUGUUUUUAUGAAUAAUUAGGAGGUUUAGUCGGCGGAAUAUAUCAUGACGUAUAUGCUUAUAAGAGUGAUCAAAGAAAAUGACUCGACAGCACAGAUUGUUCUUUUACCUUAUUUUAUGAAUUUAUAAUUUGUCGGUUGCUGUAACCAAUGAAGAAAAGGAAAAGAUGUUGAUUUUCACAACGUGUAACUUCGAUUAUUUUCCUUGAUGUAACCCAUUAAAGAAAGACAAGUUCAUGGACUUUGAAUGAGAAGAUGCAUGUAUUUCUAUUUGCAUUUCUGGGUUCUAUUUGCUGUAUAUGUUAUUGAAUAAGUAACAUUCAUGAUUUGUCUUGCUAGCCAUUCUAAGCAAUCUCUUUCUUUCUGGUGGAUACUCAGAAACUAUGAACGUUCUGAUGAAUCUUUAGUUAACUUUUAUUUAUUUUUAUUUGUUUUUGGUGGGGAUCAAGUUUCUAUGUUUUGUUUGGGUAGUUGUGGUGUCUUGUCAGCACCAGAAAUUAUGUUAUCUUAAUUUUUAUUAUUGUUGUUCGACUCAAGCUAUUGUGAAGGUUAUGAGUUCUUAGAUCUACUUCAAAGUGAAAGCAACUAAAUUUAUCAAUUUUUGAAAAGAAAAAGAUAUAUUAUUAUACACUUAAGUGACCCAACACGAUCCCAAAGUGAGUCUUCAUAUUACAGAACCCUGUUGCGAUCUUCAUCCUCUAUCAUGUAAUUCAAUUAUCGGAUUUAUUCACUUCUUUGAUUAACCUGACCUGAUUGUUUUUCUUGUGACUAUAUUGUUUUCUAUAUUAGUAUAGAAUUCAAGCAUGUGAUGUGUAUCAUGUUUGGGUUUAGUUUCCUAAUUUUUGAAAUGAUUAAACACUUCUUUAGGAUGAUUUAUCACUUUAAUCACUGUAUAAUCUUGGAAUAAUUGAACUCCUAAUCUCAUAUGGUUCCACAGCAUGUUUUGGAUUAUAUCUGUGUAUAGAUGAUUUUUGAGCUAUAUGUAUAUUGAUAACGCUCCACCAAGUGCGUCUGCUAAUGGACAAAUUGUGUAAGUUUUAUAUAAAAUAAAACCAUGAAAAAAGAAAAAGAAACAAGAAAUGGCACCAUAUGUUUGUGUUCUGUAGAUAAGAAGAUAAUACACUUAUGGUUGGAAUAUUUUAAUUUAUGGGUCAUAAACAUUUCACUCCUAUUCUUUAGUUUAAUGGUUUAUAUCCUUCUGGCAGUAUAAGAGUUUGAUGUUUAAAAAGUUGGUGUAUGUUGUGCAAUCUAAUUGCAUUUCAUUCAUUUUGAGUCUUUUCCGGGUAAUCUUUUAUUUCUUCAAUAGAAGCCAUUUGUUAUUGUAUCGAUUUUUCAGCUGAGAUCUGCUGUCAAUCUUAAGGGAACAAUAGAAGAUAACAAUCUGGCUCCUUAGUUUGUUCUUUUUCGAUAUAUCUAGUUUCGAGCGUCUUAGCAAUCUGCUUAGCUUUAGAAAAUUGCUGGUUUUCAUUCGACAUCAAGUAAAUUAAUAGGAAGUUCUAUCACUUCUGUUCAGCAGUGACCAUUUUAGUUGAUUGUAAGUCAAGAAAACUUGUGUUUGUGGUAGUUUGGGUCAGAAUUCAUUGGGGUGGGGUCUUUGAAAAUAAGCUAUCAGUACUCCCUAUCUAAACUAUUGUUCUUGUCUAACCUCAUUUAAAAUCAAAUUAGGUAACAUACAUCUAAGGUGUGAAUUAGUAAACUAUGACAAGAAUCUAUGUAUUAAUUUAUGUGUGUCCCUAUUUAUCGUUCGAUACUGUCCGAUGAGUUUGACUUUGCUUGUUUUUGUGUCUGGUGUUGUAAAGUGUACAUAUGUAACCUGUGAAUUUUUAUGGGUCUAGUAAUUCCUUCUAGUAUAGUUCCUUCCUUGCAGCAUAGACUUGAAAUCUCAAUUUUUAUAUUUUUGAGCAAUGAGUUUCAAGUGCUGCCAGUCAAUUUGAACUGUGUUACGUUUAUCCCUAGUGAUUGUGAGUAAUGCAGUUGAAGCACAAAAUUUCAUUUGCAUUCAGAGAUAUUUAGCCAAUUUUUAUUGUUCUGCAGGAAGAGCUUUGACACUAUCUGUUGAUAUUUGAAAGCACAAGUCUUUUCUUCGAAGAUCUUUCUUGAUAUAUUUCUAUGAAUGCAAUGUCAUUCUGGGGAUGAGAAGGUGUGCUUCGAAUGCUUAUUCUGUUUUUGCACAUUGAUGUUCUAAAAUUGUUGAUUGUGUCUUUGCAUUUGAUACAAUAAUAUCGUCUACAGAUUUGAGCAAGCCUGUGCUUAAUGGACUGCUCACCCACUAGCUGUGACAAGAAAACAUUAAAGAGGUGGUUCUUCAUAGACAAGAGAGUCGGGUAGAAGUAUCUCAGUUUCACAGCAGAGUCUGUUUUUGACAGAGUUUCUUUCAUACCAAUCCUAUACUGUAAUUGUACCUUGUAAGAAAAACCAAUCUGGAUCCGAUGGAGUUGAAGACAAACCAUGCUGCUCCUGUUCUCACCGAUCCUGCACCUACUAUUAGUAAGUCAAGACUAGGCAUCCAUUCUAGUUUGUUGCCAUAUUCACAGCAAGGAGCACCAUUCUCUGGCAAGUAUAUCACAAUUCCAAGGAAAAAACCAGGAAAGCUUGAUGAUGUCUGGUCCAACGGUUGGCUUGAUGCCAUGAAAUCCUCUUCACCUCCCAGAAAGAAGCUCAAUAAGGAUUUCAGUGUCGAGGUUGCUUCAGAUGAUACUGAUAAUUCUUACCUCUCUUGGAUGGUAUUUUGUUGCUUCACUUUGAUUUUUUAUUUGUUUGUCAUUCCUAAUGUAUUUGCAUUUUGAACUUAUUUUCUCUGUGAUGUGCAGCUUAAGCAUCCAUCAGCACUCAAUUUUUUUGAGCGCAUUACAAAUUUUGCAAGGAACAAGAAGAUAGCGGUGUUUCUAGAUUAUGAUGGGACUCUUUCGCCCAUAGUUGAUGACCCUGAUCGUGCAUUAAUGUCUGAUGCUGUAAGAAUUGCAUCUUGUUGUAUAGGAAUUUCAAAUUUUUAUCAUCUUCUGGUUCUGAAAUCAUACAUAUUAUUGGCAGAUGCGUGACGCUGUAAGAAAUGUUGCAAAGUAUUUUCCAACUGCAAUCAUUAGUGGAAGAAACCGUGAUAAGGUAGCACUAGCAUUAGUAUUAUAUUUUGCUUUUUAUUGCUCAAAGUUAAUAUCAUCUUGUCCAGUUGUUCUUUAUAUGGUUGUCAUCAGUCUGAUCAAGCAGGGUGCUUAUGUUUCAGGUUUAUGAAUUGGUAGGACUAACAGAACUUUAUUAUGCUGGUAGUCAUGGAAUGGACAUAAUGGGUCCUGUUACUAAUACAAACAGUGUGAAUUCUACUGACAAACAGGUAAACUGUCAGUGAAGUCCUUCUGUUUACCCUUCAAGAUUAUUCUCCAUGUCAAACUGAACAAUUUCUAUUUAUUUCGAUCUUGAUAUGGUAGGGCAAGGAAGUAAAGCUUUUCCAACCUGCUAAAGAGUUUUUACCUAUGAUCGACGAGGUGAAUAUUUUUUCAUGUUUAUGGAAAAAGAUUCACAUUGACAGUGUUGACAUUCAUACCAGGAGAUUGAUUGAUUGCUGUUCUUUUGUGCAGGUUUUUAGAACCCUCGUUGAAAACACUAAGGAAAUCAAAGGCGCAAAAGUUGAAAAUCACAAGUUUUGUGCUUCUGUACAUUAUCGUAAUGUAGAUGAGAAGGUACCAAAUAACUUCUUUCAUAUAGCUCAAACAACUUAAUGUUACAGCUUACAUUUCUUACCUGUUUGGUUGGUUUUGGCUUCUCUUCUUGCUACAGAACUGGUCAACAAUUGGUCAACGUGUUCAUGAUGUCCUAAAAGACUACCCUCGUUUACGAUUAACUCAUGGGCGGAAGGUAAUCACCAGUUGCCCUUUUGUAUUAACUCCAUUCAUAGAUAGGUUCAAAUAAUUCUUUCAUCUGACAAUGACUUUUGGACUUGCUAUUCCUUGUAUUUAUUUUCCAGGUAUUAGAGGUCCGCCCUGUAAUUGACUGGAACAAGGGAAAAGCAGUUGAAUUUCUGCUUGAAUCUCUUGGUAAUAAUUCUCUUUCUGAAAUGAUAUUACAAAUUUAGCUGUGCACAGUGCAUCUAAAUGGUUCAAUAGUCCGGAUUGAAACUGACACACAAAUUCUUGUGUAGGGCUAAAUAGUAGGGAUGAUGUGCUUUCAAUAUAUAUUGGUGAUGACAGGACUGAUGAAGAUGCAUUCAAGGUACGUAAAAUCAAAUCCACAAUAACUAAAAUUGAUCAUCUUACUGUGCGACUCUUGUAACUUUCAUAGACAGUAUAUGGUACUAAGACAGCUUCUUCACUGUUUCAGGUCUUGAAGAAAGGUAACCGAGGAUAUGGAAUUUUGGUAUCUCCUACUCCGAAAGAAACCAGUGCCUUUUAUUCUCUCAGAGAACCAGCAGAGGUUUACUCUCUCAUCCAUAAAAUUCAUGCGUUGUGUGAAGGCUGAUAUCAACGGUGUGCACAUUGUCUUCAUCUGAUCUAACCGAAGAGUUGAACUUUAUUUUGCAGGUGAUGGAAUUCCUCAAGGCCUUGGUGAGCUGGAAGGAACAGGAAGAAGCCAAUUGAGCUUGAACAUGGAGCACUUAGUGAUUUGAAUAUAGUAUAGGCUUUUGGUUUUGAAUAUUGUACUCGAGAAGAACUCUCAUGCGUUUAAAAGCUGGCUGGUUUAUCAAUAGUCUCAGUUCAGUGCUUAUCAAUUAUUUCAUGUCGAUCAUUUAAGCUUACAAGAAAAGUCUUUUCGUGCUAAGAUGUUUAGUCUGAUGAAGUUAUAUAUAUCCAGGAAGACAUUGCUAAGGCAAUGUUGGCUGCUCAUUGUCGCCGUACAGUAAUCUCAGUGAAGCAUCACAUCAGAGCUUUUCAUUCAUGUUUUGCACAAGUCGCAUGCUCAAACAGCAAUCCCGCUUCUCUCGCUGUUAACUUUUAAGACGAAUGCUAGCAACUUUCUCCGUAAAAAUCCCUGAUGGUCUUAAAAUAGGUUAUGGACCUACAAGCCCAAGCUGCACACACACUGAAGGAGUGAAGGGCCCAGAUGAGUAGAUCAAAAUUCUCAAAUAACAACAACAAAUGAAGGAAGCUGACUUGACUUGGGUUAAGAUAUUAUUGUCUUUUUUGUAGCGGAGAGUACAAUACCAUAGAACUUGUUCCUAUCUCAUUCAUCUACCUUAACUCCAAAUAAUUCUUCUCCUCGUUAUCUUCAUCUAUAUUAUCCAGAUAUUAUCCGACUCCUUAUGUAAACUACUCUGAUUCCAGAUCAAGCCACAAAAAUGUACUACAGACAUAGAAAUCCUGUCUCUACAUUUGUACCAAUACAUUAAUGUAUGUACCUUAGAACCAUACAUCAAAUUAUGACAUGACCUUAUUUUAUCGAAAACAAAAUUAUUUUCCAUCCAGAAGAAAAAAAAAAGAAAAAAAAAGUAGAUCGGUGAGUGCAUAUAAAAGACACACACCGCAUCAGUAACUUGCAACUCCAACUGACUUGUUGUCGAGACCAGAGAGAGAGAAAAUGUCAGUGUCGUUGCAAUCUCCGCCUUCCUCAGCAAUCUCCUCGUCUUUGCAUUUCCAGGGAAGAAAGCUGAGCUUGUUUAAUGGAUCCAAUCUGCUCUUCACCUCCCGCCCAUCACUUCCUCUCCUUCGCGCUUCCGCUCUCGACACUGGUCACUCCUCACUCCUCUGCUCUUUUCUACUUGUUUGAUAUUGUAUUUGGGUUGCUAAGUCAAUUUGAUUUUCAGGGUCCGCUACUGAAUUGGACGCCGUGUCCAGCUUCAGUGAGAUCGUUCCUGACACCGUCAUUUUCGAUGACUUCGAGAGGUUCUUUUCACUCUUCUUUCACUCACAAACAACUAGUAUUUGAAAUUACUAUCAUUUUCUUGUUUGCAUCCAUGUUUUGUUGAAAUGUUGAUACUUUAUUUGCUUCCUUCCUUUUUGUGUUAAACUGAUCAACUAAAAAUGAUCUCGUAAAAACAUGCAUUUCCCCAAUUGAUUGAAGGUUUGGUUUACUGGUUAUCUGUAAAUAGGUUUCCUCCAACUGCUGCUACUGUGAGCUCUGCUCUACUCUUGGGUAUCUGCAGUCUUCCAGACACCAUAUUUAGAGUAAGCAUUUCUCUUCGGAAGAUGAAAUCUUGAUUGCGAAACCUGUGUUUACUUUAUAUUAGUUAGUCACUGAUGGUCUUUCAUUUGGUCUAGAAUGCUGUGGAUAUGGCGCUGGCAGAUUCCGAGUGUAAUAAGCAUGAGAAUUCCGAAUUGAAGUUGUCUUGUUUCUUUAACAAGGUCCGUUGUCUUGUAACACAAUCAUUUCGCUAUUAGCUUGAUCUUGUGGUUCAGAAUUGUGUUCUGGUUGUGUAGGCUUUAGUUAAUGUCGGUGCUGAUUUGGCAAAACUAGUUCCUGGCCGAGUGUCCACUGAGGUGGAUGCACGUCUUGCUUAUGACACACAUGGGAUUAUUAGGAAGGUACUGGCUUUUCUUUGUAACUCAACUUUUUAUUUUUGCUUUUUAGAGAUAAUGCUAAUGGAUUGGAAAUCUAUUAUGUAAUCACUGAUUGUCACGAAUGAUAUCUUGGUUGCUAGUAUAUCUCAAACAAUGAAUGCAUUCGGAAUCCUCAGAUUAUACUCAUUUCUUACUUUCUUCUUUGUAGCAGUUACUUUACAAAAUGAUAAUUUUGCCAAGGUUUGUCAAUUUGUUAUUUCAUUGAGCCCUGUCAUGGUUGGCGCUGUAGUUCUGCAAUGACAUUUCAAUAGUUUCUAACUUAAGUGGCUUUGUCAUUGGAGAACACUAUUUUGCUCUGCAACUCUCGUUUUGUUUUUUCUUUGGUCCAAGAAAAUGCAAAUUUGGAUGCAUAAUAUGUGUGAGGCAAAAAUAAUAUGGAAAUGUUGUUAUAAUUCGUAUGCUGCUUGUUGUUUUUCCCAACAUUUGCUUGUCUGCCUGUGGUGUCCCUUUCAAUUUUAUGCCACUGGAUUUUUCACUGUUGUCUGAAUGGCUGUCUGAGACAAUUGGUUUAUAAAUAUGCAGGUGCACGAUCUACUGAAGCUGUACGAUAGAGUUGAUGUUCCCCCUGAGCGUUUGCUGUUCAAAAUUCCUUCAACUUGGCAAGUAAGUAUCAGAUAAAUAGUGAAAUUUCAAGUUGCGCUUGAUAUUCUAUUGUGCAUGAAUGUAUUUAUCUUUUUGUCAACAUCACCUGUAGUUGUUGAUUUUGUAUUCAGGGAAUAGAGGCUUCUAGAUUACUAGAAUCUGAGGGCAUACAGACGCAUUUGACAUUUGUGUACAGGUAAAGGUUCUUGUAAUCAAACUGUUUUAAGCAUGACAACCAGCUUCAUAAACAUUUCUUUGUGCUUAAUUCAGAGACUUAAGAAACAAAUUAAUUUUGUGCUUUAUUACGGAUUGACGAUUGAAAGAUUAUACUUAAUUGAUCAUGAACAAAAUUUUACAAGAAAUGAUCUUUUACAGUUGUAAAGGAGGAUAAGUUUUAAUGAGAUCUUCUCUCUCUGUAUUAUAUAUAUAUAUAUAUAUAUAUAUAUAUAUCUGUGUGUGUGUGUGUAUAACACACAUACANNNNNNNNNNNNNNNNNNNNGGACCGCUUCGUGAUGAGGGUUUCGAUCAUUUUUUCUUCAGCUUUGCUCAAGCUGCAGCUGCUGCACAAGCUGGCGCUUCUGUUAUUCAGAUUUUUGUUGGGCGUCUUAGGGUAAUGUUGUAUGUCAAAUUUGUAUGCAAACUUUCUUAAUUUAAUGUUUAUUGAUUGUUAAAGGUAUAUUUAUCAUUCAGGACUGGUCUCGCAACCACUCUGGUGACCCGGAGAUAGAGGCUGCUCUCAAAAGAGGAGAGGAUCCUGGGUUGGCCCUGGUAAGUUGGAGAGUUCUCAUCUUGUGGUAUUGUACUUAUGUACUGCUGUUUUUCGCAGUCCUUAAAGGAAACAACUUGCUGUUUUUAGUUGUACAUCUCAGUUAUGAUUACUUGUCAAAUAUACAAGUGGUUUGCAUUUUGUAAGAUUUUCAACUUUUUUUUUUUCAACUUGUUUUUCCAGUUGUAGUGUCAUCUACCGAAUUCUCAACACCAUUAACAUUGACAUUUAAGCAUUCAUUGCAAAUUUUAUCCCCAUCACAUAUUGAAGUCCUCUAGGAUGGUUUUGAACUUGCUAUGUGUAGAAUUAUUCAAGUGGCCUGGUUCAAGAAACUAAAAUAAGACAGCUUCUGUUUUACUAUAAUAAUGACUACAAAACUGCUCCCAUCUGAGAUAUUUUCUGACAUUGCAGGUGACAAAGACAUAUAACUACAUUCACAAAUAUGGACACAAGUCAAAGUUGAUGGCAGCAGCAGUUCGCAAUAAGCAAGACUUAUUCAGUCUCCUAGGGUAAGUUUAUACAACUUGCUUCUUAAUAUUAUGUAGCUGGAAAUUCGCACAUAAUGAACUUAAUGAGUGACCUUCCUGCUCAUGUUCUCUGGUAUUCAUUUAGUGUCGACUACAUCAUUGCACCACUGAAGGUAUUGCAAUCACUCAAAGAAACAGUCACUACUCCUGAAGAGAAGUACUCUUUUGUCAGGAGGCUAUCUCCACAAUCUGCUGCCAAGUACAAUUUCAAUGAAGCAGAGGUCUACCUUCUUUCCUGUUCUUGUUUUUACUUUAUUUUAUUUCUCCGAUCAGGAGUUUCUCAUUAUAACCUAUUUGCUAGCUAGUGGCGAAUGAACUAUAAUAUAACUUCAAACAAUAACAUAAUGCAAUUAAAAUAUUACUAUAAGCCACGGUAGGCAACAUGAUGACUCAGUUGAACAUGCUCACCUGUUUGUUUUCUGCACUCCUAUUGGUACUUCAAUUUUGAUCUUUUAAAAGGAAGAAAAAGAAUGUAUCUUUAGAAUCUAAACGAUACCUAAUGGUUAAUGCAUCUAUUUUGUUGAGAAGAAAGACCAAGUAUGUUACUCAUGCUAAGCGUUAGUAUUUAGACUAUGUACUGUUUACAAUACUUGCCAAAUUUUGUGAUGAGCAUGUUUAGUUACCCAUGAUAAUGUCUUCAAGUUUCGAAGCGAAAGGCAAGAACUGUUUAUAAGUUCAAGCAAUAUAUGUGGUCAGCCAUCAACAUUAUUACUAGAAAUUCAUUGACUAUGGAGUUGGCAUUCCUUAAAUCUGCUAGAAACACCAACAAAAUUCCUUAUCACUACAUCUUAUAUAAAACAUAAUUUCCAUUCUGCCAUGUGGCCAGCCACCAUCUGCCUUAUCAACUCGUUAGUGUAACCUCUGACCCAAAAAGAAAAACUCAGUAGUAUAACCACUUUGAUCACCUAGCCUGCAAUCACUUCAACAGAUGUCUCAUAUUAUCUGCCUUGGUUUCCAUGAUAGUAUGAGACCACUCAAUACCUCCUUUGACAUUGUAGUAGCACCACCAUGGCACCAUUCUUGUCAUGCUGACGGCAAUAUGUAUUUCUACUCAUAGGUAGGAGGAAAUCAGAUCACAUAAGUCUAGCUAAUGUACUUAUAUUCAUCCCACAUAGGACAGAUAUGUGACGUCUUAGGGCUCCCCACUAAGAUAUUGCAUUUAUGCUCCCCACCAUAAACAUACGUGAUACUUCAUCCUUACAAACAGUGAAUUUAGUAGGCUCAAACAAGCAGUUAUUGCUCGUGUUAAUAUUAAGUACCUGAAUUAAUCUCUGGCUUCAGCCGUUCAGGAAAGGUUAUGAUUGCUUAGAGGCCUGCCAAAUUGUUUUGGUUCAAAUUGAUAGGCCUCUUUGUUGAAAUUUAUCUCCGACUGUUUAGUUUACCCAACUGAACUGGUUAAUGGACGUGGGUUGGUUGUUUUUCUUUUGUUUAACAUUUAUUAACCAAUCUUCGUCUUUUCAGCUCAUUAAGUGGGACCAAUUAACAUUUGCAUCAGCCGUGGGGCCUGCAGCCGUGGAGCUUCUGGCUGGUGGACUGGAUGGUUAUGCGAAUCAAGCAAACCGAGUUGAGGAAUUAUUUGGAAAACUUUGGCCACCUCCAAAUGUGUGAAGAGCUCUGUUAAGUUGUUCUGCGGAUCUUCCCUUCACCAGGAAUAAGAGUGAAAUGCCGGUUCGGGUCGUGCUUUUCCUUUUUCCUCUCCUCUCUUUGUAAUGUUUAUAUCCAGCAAAGACCAGAUAUCAGAAAAGUUCUUGAUUUUGUCAUAAAAGACGUGCACAGCUUAUCUGAACUUGUUAAUAGACAUGAGAUGGGCAUGCUGGUGAAGCUGUAGCUCUCAUCCUGUAACAGUGUUCACCCCUUUCCCCUUUUUGUAAAACUUGCCAUGUGGUAACAAAGAAUCAGAAAACUCCCCAGGACCCAAUGUGUGCUAUAUAUCAUUCAUCUUUUCACAGUAGCAAUACCAAAACAGGUUUCUGAAUGAUUCUCAACGACCAAUUCAACUCAUUUCAGGAUUCCAUCGAGAAGACAUUUACGGUUCUCAAUUAUUCAUGAUCGAAGACCAAUUCGGUUCUCUUGUUUGCAAUCUUGUAUUAUGGCGUUGGCUUGGUUUAUAUCUUAGGAAGUUUUUCGAUGAGUAUAUAUCUUAGGAAGUUGGAAUUAAUCUUUGUGGUGUAGAAAUGCAAGAAGAGAAAAUUAAAACUUAUCCUGUCAUGAUUCAUGACUCAUCAUGACUCAUGAGAAGGUACUAAUUAAACUCAUAUUAAUGGAGAUCGAUUUGAAUAUUUGAGAGGGCGGCCUGAUGAAUUCUUAUCUACACUCCAUUCGUAAGAAAGAAAGGAAAACAAAGGGAAUAAAAGGACGUUGGUUGGAGGUUCCAAUUUCCAAACUGUGAUUUGACAGAACUGAACAACAUGGUUAAUAAUCCAAUCCAAUAGUAUAUAUAUCCUCCAAAAGGGGACUGAUCUAUAGCUCCAUUUUGUGAUUCUGUGGAUUUGCAAAUCCCUUGUUUCUCUAUCUUCAUGGAGCCGGCCAGUUGCAUGUGGAAGACUCUAGCUCCAGCAUCUCAGCAUAUGGGGGUCGGCACUUGCAUGUGGAAACAUGCACAAACCUCAACAAUGCCAAUCAGUUAAUCAUGCAGCAAACUAAUUAGAAAACUACAAAAGGGUUGCGUUCUGGUUUAGGUUGCUUGUGUAUUUAUUCAUUUUGUUUUUUGCACAACAAUGCAUCAUUAUUAGUGGAAGACAAAACUCUAUAAUGAGGAUUUGAUAUUGGCCAAGGAGAACAAUGAUAUUAAGCAAAGCUGCCGAGUCACCAUGUUAGGGCCAAUAAUGAAACCUAAUAUAUGUGGAUAUAUAUAUAUAGACCACGGAUCGAUGAUCCUACUUGGUAUAAUUUGGUAUUUUCUAAUUUGUAAUCAACAGUUUAGCAGAUGUCGCCUUCUAAAUCCACGUACAUCUGAAUCACCAAGAGCCUUGUUAAGUUGAACUGCUCAACCAGGUCUUUUGUGGAGCUGAUAGUAAACCUACAAUAUGGGUGAGCCAUCGCUCUUAUUAGUUUGGCUCUUGUUGAUCGAGUCUUGUAUAUGUCAAAUUUGAGAAAAAGGAAAGACGAUACGACUACGUUACAUACAUCCUCCAUGCCAUGCCAGCAGACUUAUAAUUAACACAUGGCAUUUCUGUUACCUUGACGUACAGCCUCACGUUAAUCAUUCCUUAAUUAAGAACAAAAUGUUAAAUGCCAUUUCCAUUCAAGCUCAAAAGUUCAUGAAUUAAUAUUAAAAUUUCCUUACAAAUUUAUGAUGAUAGGACAAGAGAGCAGCUUACCCACCAGACUCGCAAAGCCAGCUUCAAACCCUGUUGUCCACUUCUUCAGCAAACCAGAAAUUUCUUUGUCCACUUGUGUCCCCUCCCCAUGCCAGUUUUCAAAACCUAAAUUACCUUAAUCUUCCUCGUGCUUUAUAUACAUGGAACACAUGCACCUUGUCUGAAACUCUGACCCCCCAACUCAUUUGGAAGGAUACGAAAUCCAGGAACUAGCCAGUAUAAAACAACCCCAUUACUCUCUCGUUUCAGAUCAAAAUACUUGUAAUAACCUAAGGCCAGCUGAAUCCCCCAUGGCAGACAGAAGGCCUUUGCUUCCGUCCGACCCCGAUGCCCUUCCCACAGCCUACGCCGGAUCCUCCUCCUCUCCGGAGAUCCGGCGGAUACACGUGAAGGAGGUCCUGGCGAUGUUCGCCGGGGUUGUGAUGGUUUCUUUGUUGGUGGUCAUUAUAGGGAAUACUGGUCAUGAUCAGGAGGCCGGGAAUGCCAGCCACCACCGGAACUACAUGCCUGAUAAGCCAAUGCCAUUGACUUCGUCUUCGCCGACCAAUGAGACUGCGACCAUACCAGACAAGUUGCAGGCGGUGUCACGUGGCAUGGCGGCCGGAGUGUCGGAGAAGUCGAGCCGGUUGUACAGCAGCGGCUUCGGGGCAGGCACGCCGGUGUAUCCGUGGAACAAUAGCAUGUUGUCGUGGCAGAGGACUGCCUUCCAUUUUCAGCCGGAGAAGAAUUGGAUGAAUGGUAUGCAUAUGUUUGCAUUUACUCUUCUUUAAUCUGUAGGUUAUUUGAAUACUCAGAUUUCGAUUCAGCUAACUCCAAGAUAGAUACAUUGAACUACAUAAUUCUCCUAAUGCCGGCUCUAGCCAGAACACAACUCCUUAAUCUCUUCCUUCUUUUUUUUUUCCCCUGAUCUUUCACAAUUUUUCAUUUAUUGAGAGGCCUAGACAAAAUGAUUUGCUUGUAUUGAAUUUUUAAGUUAUGGGCCAAAAAUGAGAUGUAUGUGUUGAUUUGAAGCAUGUGGGUGGCAUAAAGGAAGACAUUUGUACUUGGUUUUUCUUCACUAUUUGGUUGCAAAAAGAUUAUUUCUUCAUUUUCUUGUGGGGGUCGUGAACAAAGUGAUUCUACUUUUCAAAUUUUCAAGAUGUCUAUCCCAUACUCUGUCUAAUACUUUUACAUUUUAUUUCUGAGUUUCUUGUUACGUAAUACUAAAAUAACAUUACUUUAAUUUUCAUGUUAAGAUGAGAUUUCGUGAUUUUUAAGUAUUCAAUAAUAUAAAAUUAGUAGAGAGACGAUCGCAUUUUAUUUGAAAAGAAAAACAACUAUUCAAUCCAAAAUUCAUUUGGUCUAUUCCUUAUAUAUAUGCAAACGUUCUUAUCCUUUAUUUCUAAAAAGAGAAGUGUAUACGUUCCAAAUUAUCAACCUUAGUACGUACUUGACUCAUGUUAACAAUAAAAUGAUGUAAUUGUCUACCUAUGACCAAAACUUGUGGUGCCAAAGAAUUGUCACCGAAAAAACUUAUUCGUAAGAAAAGUAUUAUUGGUGACUAACUAAUACAAACGUACCCACCUUAAAAUGAUGGCUUUGACUGCAAGUAAACUAAUCAAAUGCAUAUAUACGUACGUGAUACAAUUUUCAAACACGCGCGUUCUUUUGCGUGAAUAGAUUACUUUCUUCAUUUUAUUUUAUUUAUUGAAUUUCAAUUGUUUAAUUUCUACAUUAUUGAUUUUGGUUGUUUCCUGUGCCUUGUCCUUUUCAUUUGCAAUGCUCUGAUUCGGGAAUCCUCUUCUUGCUGCUUCAGAUCCCAACGGUAAGCCAAAGUUUCAGUUUUCUUAAUUGUUUCGUUACUCAAUAAUUUUUGUCUUUGCGUUUUUAUUUUAUCGUGUGUGUACGUAUGAAAUUAUAGUUUACCAAGUCUCGAAAUAAAACUUGAUUGAUGUGGACAGUUGAUUACAGUUUGUAACUUGUUAAUUUGCAUCAAAUUUUGGUAAACAGGUCCAUUAUUCUACAAGGGUUGGUACCAUUUUUUCUACCAGUACAAUCCCAAAGGUGCAGUUUGGGGAAACAUAGUAUGGGGUCAUGCAGUAUCCAGAGACUUGAUCCAUUGGCUUCACCUUCCUCUAGCAAUGGUAGCUGAUCAAUGGUAUGACAUCAAUGGAGUCUGGACUGGCUCUGCUACAAUUCUCCCCAAUGGCCAAAUUGUCAUGCUCUACACUGGUUCAACCAACGAGUCCGUCCAGGUCCAAUGUCUUGCAUACCCUGCUGACCACAAUGACCCUCUCCUCACCAAGUGGAUCAAGUACUCCGGCAACCCGGUUCUAUUCCCCCCUCCCGGGAUCGGAAUCAAGGACUUCCGGGACCCGACCACCGCUUGGUACACCAAAGAAGGCAAAUGGAGGAUCACAAUCGGGUCCAAGGUUAACAAAACUGGUAUAUCUUUAGUUUAUGACACCAAGGACUUUAUUAAGUAUGAGCAGCUUGAUGGUGUGCUUCAUGCUGUGCCUGGUACUGGAAUGUGGGAAUGCAUUGAUUUUUAUCCGGUGUCGAAAACUAGUGACAAGGGGCUGGACACUUCUGAGAAUGGUGCUGAUGUGAAGCAUGUGAUAAAGACUAGCCUUGAUGAUGAUAGGAAUGAUUACUAUGCAUUGGGGAGUUAUAACGAGCAGACUGGAAAAUGGGUUCCUGAUAAUCCAAACAUUGAUGUUGGGAUUGGGAUUAGGUAUGAUUAUGGGAAAUUCUAUGCUUCCAAGACCUUCUAUGAUCAGAACAAGCAGAGAAGGGUGUUGUGGGGAUGGAUUGGAGAGUCUGAUAGUGAAAAUGCUGAUGUCCAGAAGGGUUGGGCAUCUCUUCAGGUACGUACACUGGUUUCAUUUCAUUCCAUCUCUUCUAGUACCAUAAGGCGUUUAUAUAUGUUCCAAGACUCGGCUUAAUGCGACUUGAAAAUUCACAGACUUGCCACAUAGGCCUAAACUGUCUAGUAACAGAACAUUUCCCUUUAGUUUUACGUACUCUUUUGCUUUGGUGUUUCAUUCUCUUCGAUCUUAUCUCUGAUUGUACAAUGUUUCUGGAAUGAUUUUGAACAGGGAAUUCCAAGAACAGUGUUGUUUGAUCAAAAGACUGGUAGCAAUCUACUUCAAUGGCCAGUGGAGGAGAUUGAGAAAUUGAGAUUGAAUAUGAACAACUUCGACAGAGUACAAGUCAAGGCAGGGUCAGUGGUGCCACUUGACGUUGGCACAGCCACACAGGUCUGCAUUCUGUAUGCUGUUCUUAAGUUCAUAUCACCAUUUGUGGGAAACUAUUUCUUGGCUGAAAUUCUGAUUGGCAUGAAUGUUACAGUUGGACAUCGUCGCAGAGUUUGAGUUGGAUCAGACGGUUUUAGAGAGCACAGCUGAAUCUAACGAGGAAUUCAGUUGCCAAACUAGUGGUGGAGCUGGCAAACGCGGCGCAUUGGGACCCUUUGGUCUUCUUGUUCUUGCGGAUGACGGCCUCACUGAGCGCACUCCUGUCUACUUUUAUGUUGUCAAGGGAUCUGGUGGCACUGUCAAUACCUACUUCUGUGCUGAUCAAACAAGGUGCGUAUUAAGUUUUCCAUGGUACUUAAUAUCGUGCAUGUUAUGUUAUUAGAUUAUGAAUUUAUGAAUCACCGAAUCAAAACCUUCAAAACACGAUCGUCCCACCUAAUAAAUUGUUUAGAUUCAUAGUUUGACAAUAUAACGUAUGAGGAUGCAUGAUUUGAUAUUAGUUGGUUACUUGGUUGUACGUAAUGUUGAAUUGCACGCUGAACUAAAUAUGUUUUCUCUCUGUAUUAUAGGUCUACUGUGGCAAAUGAUGUUGUUAAACAAGUUAGUGGUAGCUAUGUUCCAGUGCUGAAAGGUGAAAAGCUGUCUGUGAGAAUACUGGUAAGUGGAUUGAACUAUGGAUAAUAGAAUCAUCAAAUUUAUGACCUUGGCUCACUUCCAUUCAAUCAUAUAUGUAUUCCAGGUUGAUCAUUCGAUCAUUGACAGCUUUGCUCAAGGUGGACGAACAACGAUAACAACGCGCGUUUACCCAACUCAAGCAAUUUAUGGAGCUGCAAGGCUUUUCUUGUUCAACAAUGCUACUGAGACCAGUGUUACUGCCUCACUCCAGGUAUGGCAGAUGAACUCUGCCUUCAUACGCCCAUUUUCACCUGAUGCAGCAAGCCAUGCAAGCUUCACCCCUGUCACAAUAUUCAUCAAUUUCAUCGUCCCAUUCGGACUAUUUUUAACUUUAUAUUUUGUAAGAUAAGAAAGAUAAUUGAUUUGGUCCGCGGAUGGUAGUAUGGAAACAUUAAUUCUUUUUGUCGAAGAGUUCAGUACCAGUUUCUGCAAUUUGAUUCUUAAUUUGAUCCCAAUAGAGUUCAAAAGCGUACUGAUCCUUCUCUACAAGUGUUUAAGCUAUUUCUAGUUACAUAUACUUAGCCAAAAAGAAAGAAGCAUGCAGAGACGAUGAAAGUUAAUGACUGGUUAAGCAAUACAUCAUUAUAAGCUAGACCAGUGUUACUAUAUAUAAUAUUCCAUCUGAACUAUAGUGAUCGUUCACAGUCGGCUCAUUAAGAUUUCAUAUAUUCGGAUCCUGUUAAAUUGUGAGCAGGAUUUUUACUAGCUAUAGAACGAUUCAUGCAUGAGAAUGCCGUCUUGUGGCUAUAGAUCGAUGGAACCCCUUCUAGCGAGGACCUUUAAGUUAAGGACUUGGUGAGGACUUUUCGGCUUAUCCCACCUUUCGAUCUUAUAUCCACAUCUUGACCGUUCAGUUUAUAGGUAUUUAUGAGUGGAUCAUUUCUUCAAAUUUUCAGCUAUAUUGAAAAUUAUUAAGACAUUCAUAAGUGUGAUUUAUCAAUUAUGAACUUGAACGGUUCAUAUUUGACAGAUUUGGUUCGUCCAUUAAUUUGAUAUAGUUUGUUAUCUUAACGAACACUAAUUUGGGGGAAAAUUUGUAGAAAUGAUCUACUCAUAUAAACCUAAAAACUGAACGGAUGAGAUGUCAAAAUGUAAUCGAAAAUUGGGUCUUUUAAACCAUAAACUGAAAAGUCCUCACCAAGUUCUCAACUUAAGGGUCCUCACUAAAAGGGCUCCCAUAAAUCGAUUAUUCUUUCUAAAAAGUUCUCACUUGAUUGAGUGAUUUCACCUUUCCCCCCAAUAGGGGUACUGUACCCCAAAAAAUAGUCAUAUUAUUGAUAGGGCCAGUUCAGAUCAAAUGUCACAGCUGGACUUCACAUUUUGCCCAUUAUGCAUGUCAUAAUAAUUCAUACCCACCCAAACAACUUUGUCUGUUCAAUUAGUAAUAAGCUACUCUCGCCAAAAAAAAAAAAAAAAUUAAGUAAUAAGCUACACUAUGCAUGCCGACUCCAAUGCAUCAUUCUGGUUGGGGCAAUGUCCCUUGAUCAAUCGUAUCAUCGUUCCAAUUAAGUAACCAGUACUGGAGCUUUUAUAUUGUUAUGUUUUUGGUACAUAUAUAAUUGUGCGUUGAUUUGUUAAGACUAAUUAAGCUUGCAUGCAUGAUCGAUGGACGACUAUAUAGAUUUGAUCGAAUCAUGUACGUCGACAAAGACAACCCCCCCAGCAAAACGUAUUGAAAUGAUGACAUUCCUUGCGCAAGUUGAAGUUGUAUUGAAUACCUCCGGCCAUGGCCAACACAAUCAAGCUAUAGCUAGCUAGCUUGAAAGCUUUCUUGCUUGUCUAAUAGUACUCUUUGGAGAAGGAAGGAACUGCGUGCCGGUAAAAUUGGUUGUUCUUGGUCCCCUCCUCUCUGGAAUCGUUUGGCCUCGCGAUCAAUCUGUUUAUGCUUUCUCUCGUUCUCCAUCCAGCUUAGCUAUACGCCUAUAUCUGAGCUAGCUUAAAGAUUCUCAAUGUUAGGGUUGGCAAAAGUACUCAUGAUAUCGGUACCAUUAUAUAUGAUAUAUCGGUUUCCAACCAAGGAGGGAGAGAGAUUGAGGAUUUUGACUAGCUAAUAGCUAUUAGAGUAUUUUUACCAACACUAAUCUCAUGGACUACAUAGUUUUUCUCUAGCUCGUUCUUGCAUGUAUAUACCGAAACACAGAAUUGGUUUAGUAGCUGGCGAUAAGAAUUCUUAGUUACUUACAGAUAUCAAGCAUCUGUAUUGGGCAACUCCUUAACUAAAGUUGAGCCAACCUUUUAGCUAGCUAAUCAAACCCACCCAAUACCAAAUGCAUGAAUAAACGACAUGGUGGGGAAACCAUGCACAUGUUAGCAUGUAUGCUUGAGCAUGCAACAACAACUAUUUCACCAUGAUAAAAGGCAUAUAUAGUGCUUUUCAAAAAGAAGAAGAAGAAGCAUAUAGUGGUAUUAAGGAAUUCAUAAACCAUAAGCAUUAGUGAAUUUUGUAGAUUCCAAUCCAAGGCAAGAAAACCUAAAAACAGAAAAAAGAGGGGAAAUUAUGAAGUGGAUCCAUGAUAAAAGGUGCUUCACGGGCCAGGGCCUUUAGCAGUGCCCGGCCUAAUAAGACCCCCCAGCCACAAGGCGUACCACCCUAGCUACCACCCUUUUUUUUUUUUUAAGCAUAUUAUGUCAUCAUGUCUCCUCCGGUAGUCCGGUGGGGUGGCCCUGCUAGUGUUUAUCCACUCCGCCUCGAUCUCACUAAACAAGUAAACAGUCAAAAUCCAGUCACUCCCUGUGUAUGGCAUCUCGAGGUAAAACCAGUGGACGUAUUUUAGAUUUUGUUAUAUUCAUUAAAUUAGACUUGGUCCCCUAUAUAUACAUUAGUUUGUUUGUUAAUUAGUUGCGUAAAGAAUGAUCAUAAUCUACCUGUUAAUCUCACUCACUCAUGAGAGCAAAAUGUUAUUUUAACUGUUGUACACAUGUAAUCAUAACUCACAAGUUCAUAACCAAAGGAUACUCUUUGAAGAGUUGAAGGGCAAACCCAGAAAUGAAGAAUCAAAUGUUACCUAGCCUGCGCUCUAAUCCAACCAUCGCCAAUAUAUAUAUAUAUAUAUAUAUGCCUUUGGGGUCCCCUAUUAUGGGCAGUGCCUCACGGCUGGCAAUCAUGUGGCGCUUUCAUAGAGAUCUGAACGUUGCAACACCCUGUUAUUAUUUAUUGUUCUUUUUCCUAUAUUUAUCUCUUUCAAUUCGGCUAUUCCUUUCAUCUCUUCCGAAUCCAGACGACAACAGUAGUCGUAGUAGUAGUCAAAUAAAACCAAACCCCCCUCGCGUGGGACUAAUGUUUCUUUUUGGCUCCAAUGGCUCUCAUGAACUGGCUAUUGGCUGUCACUCCCCUCUUUCUGUCUCUGAAAAUGUUUUUUUUAUCUCUCACUGUGUUCAUGAAUGGUGACCGGUCACCGACAAAAGCUUAGCUAGUUUUGCUUGGAUCAGACCUCAAACCCAACCAACCAUUGUUUCCUAUUCUUUUUUUCCAUAAUUAGGCCAAGAAAAAUACCACUCUAUACUCUAUACAAUAGAAGAAAGUGUCAAAGAAAAAGAGCCGUUUUUCUGUCUCUCACACACUCUCUCUACUUCCAGAGCUUCUGGUUCUGUUCUCUUCUUUUUCCUCUCUUUCCUUCUUUGAUUCUUUCUGAUAAUGUAAACAAAAGAAGGGAAAAGAAAUUGGCUUUAGAGUUUUGUGAUACACAUUGUAAAAGUCUUUGGGGGAGUGAGAGAGAGAGAGAGAUGGCUUUCAAGAGCUUUUUCACUCUGUUUCUCAUCCACAUUUGCUUCUUUGCGAGCUUGAGUUACGCUGAAGAUCCGACCUUUUACCACGAUUUUGUGGUCUCUUACAUCACUGCUUCUCCUCUUGGUGUUCCUCAACAGGUUUGCUUUCUCUCUCUACCUUGUUUCUUCUGGGUUCUAGCUGCUUUCUAGCUUGUUUCUUCACUUUUUCCAGCUACUGAUGACUAAAUGACAGAUGGGUUAGCUUUAGAUUUCAUAAAAUUUGAAUCUUUAGCUCCAGAUCUGCUGAAUGUACUUGUAUUUUGAAACUCUGAGCUUAGAGUGCUAGUUCUAAGCUUAUAGUGAUGUCAAGUAGGGAGCUUUUGAGGCGGCUUCUAGUGAUUGAUUCUAAAUCUGCAUUACUUUGCAGGUUAUUGCCAUUAAUGGAAAGUUUCCUGGUCCUGGUAUAAACGUGACUACUAACAACAAUGUCGUUGUCAAUGUUCGGAACAAAUUGGACGAGAAUCUACUGUUUACUUGGUAAGAUUUACUGUAAAGUGCUCAUGGUUUUCAAUCAGACACAUUGUUGUUAUAUAUGGAUUGGGUUUCUGAAACUGGAUUUUGUGUUAUAGGGCCGGAAUUCAGCAGCGGCGUAGUUCAUGGCAGGAUGGAGUUCUUGGAACCAAUUGUCCAAUUCCCCCAAAGUGGAAUUGGACUUAUAAUUUUCAGGUUAAGGAUCAAAUUGGGAGCUUCUUUUACUUCCCAUCUCUUAAUCUCCAGAGAGCAUCUGGAGGGUAUGGUGGGUUUAUUAUAAAUAACCGGGCCGUAAUUCCCAUUCCGUUCGCAACCCCGGAUGGGGAUAUAACCAUUUUGAUUGGUGAUUGGUACACAAAAAACCAUACGGUGAGUACUCGGUGAAAUUCUCAACUGCUUGUUAAGUACAUAUUUGAGAUUUGGUAGAGUAACACACUUGAUGAUGAUGGUUCCUUCUUUAAAUGUAGGCUUUGAGGAAGACCCUUGAUGCAGGGAAAGACCUUGGAAUACCGGAUGGUGUUCUCAUCAAUGGGAAAGGCCCUUACCAAUACAACACUACACUUGUCCCGGAUGGCAUUGAUUACGAAACAAUUGAUGUACACCCAGGUGAGUAUUAGCCAAUUAUUUAUAUAUCUGUAAAUUAAGCAAUGCAGUAAUUUUGGGAAUGCUUAAUUUGGAUUUGUUCUGCGCAUGGCAUUGAUCAUAUUCGUCUUGAGAGCCAGAUGCGUAUGGUUUCCUAUCAUGCUAGCAUUUUGAGUUUAUUUGAGCGUAGAGAUUCAGCUCACAAGCAACACUUCAAACCAUUUCUGGAUAAGUAAUUAAUUUAAGCGAGUCAGAGUAAUGUUCCAUACAACUGACAUGACUUAUCUGUCCAUCAGCUUUGCUUUAUCGGUUGAUUGGCAUUAGCAUGUGAGAUCAAUGACCCUGGUUUCAGAAGGGAAAGCUUAAGUCCCGGCUUAUUACUCAUAUUUAGGUGUUUUGGUGGAAGACGACUUAUGACUUUAAAUCUAUGAUCUUUGCAGCUGUUAUUUGUAUUAUAGCACUAAUUGUAGCAAAAUGAUUCUUGAAAGUCAUAUCUGUGCAUAAAGAGUUGCCAAGUCAUUUCACAUGUCAAUAUUUAUUGUAUACAAGGAAAUUUCUGUGGUUAGUUCCCCAAACUUCAAAUUACAACGAUGUGAUUUUGAUCAGGGAAAACUUACCGUCUUCGCGUACACAACGUUGGAGUGUCGACUACUCUAAAUUUCAGGAUUCAGAACCACAAUUUGCUUCUAGCAGAGUCGGAGGGAUCAUAUACAGUGCAACAGAACUAUACGAGCUUAGAUAUACAUGUCGGACAAUCUUAUUCAUUUCUGUUAACAACGGAUCAGAAUGCUAGUAGUGAUUAUUAUAUUGUAGCAAGUGCUAGAUUUGUGAACGAGUCACAUUGGAAAAAAGUUACUGGAGUUGGAAUCCUGCGUUAUUCUAACUCCAAAGGAAAGGCAGCUGGUCCCCUACCACCACCACCAAGUGACGAAUUUGACAAAACCUUCUCGAUGAACCAGGCCAGAUCCAUCAGGUGUGUUCUUUGUUAAUCUUUUAGAUUCUCUUUACUAUCUUUUAUAUAUUGUAUUUAGAUUAUUCAGCAACAAUUUCCUGACUUUGUCAUCCAUAUAAACCUAUUCUGAAAAUUUGCCAACUUUUGUAGAUGGAAUGUAUCAGCCAGUGGUGCACGUCCUAAUCCACAGGGGUCUUUUAGAUACGGCUCCAUCAAUGUAACUGAUGUUUAUGUGUUGAAAAACAAGCCACCAGUAAUGAUCAAUGGGAAACGCCGAACAACUCUAAGUGGAAACUCAUUUGUAAAUCCUGCCACACCUAUCCGGCUAGCUGACCAGUACAAAUUGAAGGGUGUUUAUAAGCUUGACUUCCCAAAAAGGCCGCUUACUGGAGCACCCAGGAUGGAAACAUCUGUGAUUAAUGGAACAUUUAGAGGAUUUAUUGAAAUCAUACUUCAGAACAAUGACACCAAGAUGCAGAGUUACCAUGUGGAUGGAUAUGCAUUUUUUGUUGUCGGGUAGGAGUUCCUUGAAGUUUAUUGUAUAAAACAUGCGUAUGGUAGUGUUUUAUAUACCUCUCAGUGCCUUUAACAUGCAAUGAUUAAUUGCAGGAUGGAUUAUGGUGAGUGGACAGAGAAUAGCAGGGGGACAUAUAAUAAGUGGGAUGGAAUAGCCCGUUCUACAAUACAGGUAUGGUUGUUACAUAACCAACUGGUUUAUUCAUAGUUAGUUCCUCCCUUAAACCUCACCUAGUUUUUAGGUAAGCAUUUACUUCCUAAUUGUGAUACUUGUUUCAUAGUUAGUUCCUCCCUUAAACCUCACCUAGUUUUUAGGUAAGCAUUUACUUCCUAAUUGUGAUACUUGUCAGUUGGGACAUUUUUUUCCCUUCACUCAGAUCAGCUAUCAAAGAAGUAUGUUCUUUGCAAACCCUCAAAUGAAGACACAGAACAGUUCUAUUUUCCUCAUUAUAUGGCCUAGCACUAUAUUGCUGAGCACUUGGUCAUUACAGAGACUUUAAAUAUGAACUAGUAUAGGUGUAUAGUAGUAGCAAAGCUAUGCAAACUUUGCGACAUUUAUUUCAUAUUCACUGCUAAUACUGUAAAUAUUGGUAUUACUGUAUCAGAAUGAGUUCUCUCACUCCUAUUUGUGUAUGUGUUUAGGUUUAUCCUGGGGCGUGGUCAGCAAUUUUGAUUUCUCUGGACAAUGUUGGAAUCUGGAACAUUAGAGCUGAAAAUCUUGACUCAUGGUAUCUCGGCCAAGAAACUUAUAUCAAGGUUGUGAAUCCAGAACCGACUAACAAAACUGAGCUUCCCAUACCAGACAAUGCCCUAUUUUGUGGUGCUCUAAGCAAAUUGCAAAAGUAUGUCCCCACCCAUAAUAGUACUAAACCUUCUCAAGUCGUUAAUGUGUGACAGCAACUAAUAACUACUUAUGAUUCCUCUUUUCAGGCCUGAAGAUAUCUCUUCGGCAGCAUCACUCACUAUUGUUCAAUCAAAGGUGUUCACUCUGCUGAUGAUCAUAUGCACUUUAAUUCCCAUUUUCCACUAAAGGGUUCGGCUUUUCUGAGGGGGACUGUAUGUUUGUUGGAGCCUAGGUUCUUAGUGAGAGGUUUGUGGUUGGGUGUUUAGGUUUUGAUAUUAGGCUUGUUGAUAUCUUCAGUGAGUUUGACAUUCUUUUCUUCUUUGUACGUUCCAUGAUUCCUUUAAUUGAUCGGGAUUUAUGGCUCCAUGGCUCCUUUAAUUGAUCGGGAUUUAUGAUUCUUUUAUUAUCAAGAACCCAUGUACUGUUUGACAAUCAAUCAAUUCAUCAAUUCAAUUCAAUGCCACUUCCUACCCUUUGAUCCAAUUUCUGUAAAAUGAAUUUCUGAGACAGAAGACGAAGUUUUUGGCUUUGCUGUCACGGGGUCUGAUAUUUUGUCAAGGUUUUUAUGUUUUGUGGUCCUGGAGAUUUUGGUCGAAAAAAUGCAUCUUUCAAUGAAGGAUACAGGCAAAAAGAUAACAAGGAGGCUGAAUGUUAUUUAUUGUCUCCAGUAAGGUACAUACAGAGACCUGUAUAUAUGAACAAAAUUGCCAUUCAAUGCAGCGAAGUGCCGGUUUCAACUACAAGACCCAAAAGGUGGUAUAACCAGAGUCCAAGCAUUUGGUUGGUUUUUUUUUUUUUUGGUAACAUUCAACCAAGCACCGUUGCAAUGAGUCCUCAAAUUUUCACAACUAUCCAAGAUAGAAUUCAGAUGACAUCUUAAAGGCUGCAAGGUCCUGAAUGAGUUGUAUAGACUCCGGUGGUGCUUCAGCUUCUUUCAAAUCAGAGUUGCAACCCCAAACACGAAUUGCAAGUCUCCGACACUUGGGAGAUGAUGGUUGCAAGUAGGUUUUGUAGAAGUUAAUAAUGUCCUCCUUCUGAAGGCUUCUGACCUCUUCAGCUACCCUUUUUGGCCAGUCAUAUGUAUACCUGUAGAUCAAACAUUUAUCAGACAGUGUUGAAGCACAAGCAUUACAGAUCUCAAGGCAUGACAUUCUUAGAUCAACCUGACUAGUAGAGAUCAUGUAUACAGAGUACCUUUUAUUGGUAAUUUCCUCCCAAAGCCUAGACGUUUCAUGUCCGAGUGUUUCAUCUCUUUCCAAUAGAUUUGCUAUUAGUCCAUCUUUAUAAUUCUCAAAGGAAUCAUCAUCCAGUCCGUGCUGCAAAUGGCAACAACAAUGCAGAAUCAAUAAUAAUGAAAUAUUGUAUUAUUGUUUGAGAAUGCACAAUUUAGAAAACUAAACAUGAUGAAAUCAGAUUCAUACCCACACACUAGAGAUCCCUUGUAUAUGUUUCAUUAUGGAACCUCUAGUUGUGUGGAUAUUACAUUGGUGUAAAAUGGUUAAUGUAUACAUAGUACAGAACAGUUAAUAAUCUUACUCACGAAUUGGGGAAAACCUUAAACUAGUAUUAUCGUAGCAGCAUCCGGAAGGAACCUAGAUUGCUUUUUUUUUUUCUUCGGACAAUAAGGAGCCUUGAAUGCUUACCAACAAUAGAUCCACACCAUUUAUAAAGUUGUCAACUCUCCCUUGCAAGUAGAUUGGGUUGUGCUCAGACGACUCAACACAGAAAACAAAGCCAUAUACACGACAUAUUUCUCGCAGGCCACACCAAACAACAUAACCAAGCUGCUCCUUCGUCCUAUUUCAAGAAACACAAUGGCAGUUCUAAAAAUAUAAGUCUAAAAUAAUCAUCUGGCCCCAAAUAAAAUUAUAUUAUCAGAACAGAUUCUUUAGCUAGUCAGAAUGCAAGCAAUACUUUCAGCCUCAAACAAAUACCUUAGCUGAUCGUAAAGUGGUUCGUCUACAAUUUUCAUAAAAAGUUUUGCCAAUGCUCUCAAUCUGGUGGACUCGAUCUCAAUUUGAAAAUAUAACUGCAAUGUGAAAACAAAACAAAUGGGAGACCAACAAGAGGUACAUUUAUGAUUUUAUGGAUAGAAAACCAAGAAAAUAUAUCCACUUUAAUUACCUCAAUGACAGAGUUUGUUUCAGAAUUAUUCUUCACACAGGCUUCUCUAACGAGGUUAGCAGAAGGAGGAAGGCACAUACAAUGAUCCUUAUGCCUCAAUUCGAUAGGAAGUGGUUCCACAGUAAAAUUGGUUUUAAAUAUAUUGGAAAGGUGAAGUGCCUCUUCUUCUACCAGAUUUCCAUGACAAAAGCCUUCAAUGUAAAGCUGUGCAUAUAGAGGAGAGAGGAAGUUGAAAUCAUUCUAAUUAUUUACAGAAAUUCUCCAAAUAAUAUAACAAUUAUUAAAUUCACAUUUGAUAGCUAGUCUCCAAUUCUUUCACUAGGCAUGAAAGUGGAAGAAAUGGGAGUCAAUAAGUCAGAAUCAGACAAACUGGUCAUAUGUGUAUAGUAUAUACCUGGGAACAAAGCUCGGGAAUAAACAACUUCAUAUCAGAAACAGACAAACUGUUCAAAACUUGCAACUCUUCAUCUACAUCAUAAUAUUUAUGGUACAAAACUUGACGUCUCAAAUAUGAAGAGUGACUCUGAGGAUCCAUAUUAGUGUUCUUUAACAUUCUCUCCAUUCUUUCUCUGAUAACCUGUUAUGUGUUACUUUGUCAUAAGUCAUAACCCAGCCAUAACCUAACAAGGUAUUCUCAUUUGUAUACAUAAUCAAACUUGAACCAGACAUAGAGUGGACUGCAGACAUAAUGUAUUCCGGCAUACCUCGAAACGAUCAUAUGUUGGCAAGAAGUUUCUGGUCACUGUCAGAAUUUUUGACAAUAAAGCUGGAAGCUUAUCGUUGAAACCGUAAACCUUCAACUCCAUAAAGUCGUUAGAUCCAUUUACAUGAGUUCCCAGCCCGGCAACAUUGGCCUACACGCAGAGAAUAAAGGAUCCAUCAUUGUAUAGAUCCUAAAUCAUUUUUGUUCUAGAACAUAGUUGCUGAGAACAGAAUGACUAAUAUUGACCAAUAAAUUAUUAAAUUUUGGGGCACAAUAUAAGUAUAAAGCCACUAUAAUUAUAAGUUAUAUCUUACAACUGAAAUCCUAAACAGUAAAAUGAUCAAAAUGAAGAAGUGUGUUAAGAAAUUUAAAAAUGUAAAGAAUGGAGAUAGAUAGAAGAGAGACGACCCAGUUCUUCAAAAAUUUAGAAAAGCAAACACAUUCAUAGUUCCAGAUUAACAUGAUAAUUCUCUGGAAGUUAUAUACAGUGGUUUUCUAGCUUCUACUAUUAGCCACAAUAGCAUCCAAUUUUUAUAAUGAACCGAAAUGGAUGCACACUACAGAGAUAUUCAAAUUGAUUUAAAUUCAAGUGGUGUUCCUAGAAAGAAAGAAAAAGUUUUUUUUAAACAAGACCUUAAUCUGAUGGAUGAAAUAUUCACCUGAUAUACUAUUUCAUUCAGCUCAUCCUCAAGAAGCUCAAUAUACAGUUCAGUCAAAACAUAACUCUUCACAUUAUCAUAUCCACCCUUCAGAUUUAUGCGGAAGUAUGCAUUUACCCGUGGUUGUUUAAAAGUACUGUCAAGCUUGUACCAGAUCUUCACCAAUGGUUCAUCAAGUAUACAUCUUGGAGAAGAUAUAUUUGCACUAUCAGGACAACAGACAUCUGAACGGAUGGAGAAAUCACCAGGAAUGAACAUAUUCUUUAGAGGGAGAUGCAAUGAAUUAUCAACUUCUGGAGGAUCCUUCCACAAAUUCAUCAAAGAUGGAGAUAUAUCUUCUUCAGUAUAAUGUGAACCAAACCAAGGCUCGCACUGGAAAUCUGAAACAGUUGAAGGGAUUGUUAGUGCUUGAGCACACUUAUUUACUCCUGCAAAAUCCAAAUAAUAUAUGAAAGUAUGUACUGUGUAGCAUAUAAAAUGAGGCAUAGAAAUCAUUCUCAUUUUGUCAGUUAGAAAUAGGAAAAAUAUAAGGAUAGCACGAAGAAUAUAACAUGAGCCACUUCUGAAAACUAGUUAAAAUAAAAUACGAUUGCUAGCAGCCAAACAAAACAAUGAAAAUAAGAGGGACAAGAAGCACCUUUUUAAUUUUAUUUUUUUUGGCAUAAUAGCGAACUUACUUUCCAACUUGAAUGAGGACUUUGAUAUCACAUCAAUCCUCAUGUUUUCUGGUCUGAAGAAGCCAAGAACAUAUUCUAUCAAUUCCUUAUCCCAAGUCUCGUACACAUAGUCCCCAUAAAUAACAUGUUCUGCUGAAUAGCGUAAUAAAUUUCCUGCAAUACAGAAAUUAUGAGAUUUAGUAUGAAAUAAAUGUACAUAACUUGAUACAUCUUAUGAUCUGUGAUACUUGCAGACAAGUAAGAAAGACAUGGACUUUCAAUAACAAAAAAAAACCUCCAAGUUUUACAGCAUAAUCAUCCUGGGGCUGAUCCUGCAUAAAUCUAAAACUCAUGUUCCCAAUAUCCUGGAGUUCCCGGAAUAUCCAUUCUUGAGGUGAUACUUGACGCAAUAAUUUAAUGUAUUGAUACACCGAGCCAACUAUCUCAAAAAUCUGCAAGUAACCAUAUAACAUAUGAGAAGUGAUAUACAUAGAGUUAAUUUCGCUUCACUACAUAUGUUCAGCAGUAACUGAAGCUUUCCAAAAGCAAUGAAUUAUAAAGUGGAAUUACGGUAUGCCUCUAGUAAUUCUUACGUUCUCCAAAGUAUUCUAGGGAAGAUAAUCUAAACUUAGGUUUUGUUCCAUGAUGAAAGAGAAACUCACAAAUAAGAAAUGGGAUAAUCAAAGUCAAUCUCAUGCCAAAAGAUGGAUAGAUAGAGAUAAUACCUGCUCCAAUCCAGAGUCAGUAAGGUAUAUGAUCAUGCAAAAGACAUCAGCCACAGAAUAGCGGUUCACCGAAGCAUUGAGAUAUGUUGCCCAUCCUUUAGCUUUGAGAUAAAAAUACAGACUUCCCCUGCCCUCUGGGAAAGAAAAAAACCCAGUGAUCAGAAUAAACUCAAUUAAAACUCGAUUUAGUAAUGUGUAGCCAGCCAAAAAAUAUUAGAGGGAAACGCAUUGUAAAAAUCCAUAUACAAGACAUGCAAAAAAAUAAUAAUUCCAAACAUAGGAAAAGCAUGAAUGGAGACCACUCUAAGGAAAUAACAUUUAGACAAAUAGUGCAGCAUUCAAGCUCUCUUGUGUGCAAUAUGAACAGUUUGUUCUCUGCAGAGGAAAUCAUCAACAUAAACAAUUUAAUAAUGAAUCAUCUUACCAUGCUCAAGAAGAUGGCUUAAAAAAUAAUCUGGGCAUUUCAAAUAAUGUUGAUGAAGACUUGGAAGUGCCCAUGCUAAGUGGAGUAUAUGAACAUCAUUAACGGCCUCUAGCCUGUAAAGUUUUCCAACAUUCCAAAUAGGACCUUCAGCUUUGAACUCCAGGUUAACUUGGGGACCUUUUUUGACAUCUCCAAACAAUUCCAAAACCCACUGCUCAAGUAUAUCAAGAGAUUCUGCAACACUAAAACCAUUUCAAUAAAUAUAGAUUACAUCUAUCAGCAGUUUUGAAAAGAAGAAGAUAUGUGUUAAGGGAAAUAUGUUUAUAGUAUUACAGCGACAAGUUAUCAACAAUGCCACUGAAACACACUGUAACAGUCAAUCUCCAAUAUCAUCAAAAAUUCAUCUUUAUUGUUCAUGACUUUGAUUUUCACGAAUAGGUUUUACCAAAAAAAAAACUGCUCACAGAACAAUCACAACACAACACUUCUACUGACAAAAACUCAAUGUGUAAUUUUUUACAGCAACAUAAACCUCUACCAAUUUACAUAACCAAAUAUUCAUGAGGAAAACAGAAAUCGCGAGUAGAUAAGUAUAUCAUACUAUGCUGUAAAGACAAAUUGAAAUUUGCAUGUCUAAUAGCACACCCUUUUGGUCCACGAUACAACAACUUGCUAAUCUUAUUGUCAUGGACACCAUCUCUGUAAAUUAUCCUCCAAAAGAUAUUGGUAAAACUUAACAGAAUUCAAAAAAAAAAAAAAAAAAAAGGAAAUUAAAACUUUCACCUCCACCAAUGACAACUAGCUUCAUUAAUCCGCCAUGGUAAUAGUCUGUGUACAUUUGCAUUAUUUGUUGACGUAAGUUUAUCCCUUUUUCCCUUGCAUCAUCCAAGCUUCUCUUAUUUCCUUUCAUGCCAGAUAUAAAAUAAAAAUUUAGUUGCAUAAAAAACACAGUAUCGCUAAACAAAUACAAAGUAAAAGGAAAAAGGAAACACCAUGGAUUCAAGUUUUACCCCGACUGAAAUUAUUAAAUGGGUGACCAGGUGUGGCUGUAUGACCUUGAAGUUGUUCAAGGCGGCAAAAAUCGUUUUGCAGAACCCGGUUGAACUCUGCAUUGCAUUUUGAAUACAAUUCAGUGACAAGGAAUUUUUAUGCUGCAGUCCUGUAAGCAAAAUCUGGCACAGUUUUUGAAGGAAUAACUUUAGAAAGACUGGCAUGCACCUGAAUCUAUAGACUGUAACUCUCGCUCCAUGGCUUCACUUUUCAUUAGAGGUGACACAAAGAACUGAGAAAAUCUAAUAAAUCAAAGAGCCCAAAUAAAUAUAAUUCAUUGAGUGAGACAAAGACAAGUAUCAAGUCAAAAUAGGAAGCAUCACAGAAAACUAAAAACUCAGUUCACAGACCAAGUAUAUCUCCAAUAUUAAAGACUUCAUUUGUCAACAUUCGAUCAGCAGAUGAAAAGCUUAGUAUUAACCUUGUCAAAGCACCCUUAAGAAACUCUGGUUUCACUUCAAAGUGGUACGAUGUAUUCUCUUCACGCGUGCAUGCAUUUGAUGACCCUCCGUGCUUGGACAAGUAACUGUCAUACUAGCAAAGGGCAGAAUCAAAACAAAUGAUGGCAUAGCGUAGAGUACACUGUUGUCUUCCAAAUAACUUGAGUUCGAGCUUGUAAAAGCAUUUGACAGAAUAAUAAUCAACCAGUAAAGAACUGAGGCCAACACAAGAAUUUCCACAUGGUCAAAGAAAACUACUCUUAUAUCUUGUGAGGGGACACAAAAAUUGAACAAGCUGCUAUUUGUUUCUUUGUCAUGAUAAACCAUUCAGUCUCCUAAAAAUUUAAGAAAUGCAGCCUGACACAUUACUGAGCAGGUUGGCAGCAAAGACACAAGCAAGUCCAACCCACAUAUAUGGGUUAAAAAGCAACCUUAAGAUGCUGUCAGAGUAAUAAUUCUUGAUACUUAAGCUGCUUCACAGUGGCAUGAAUUUUAUUAUUGUAUGUAACCUCAUCUUUAUGAACAAGGCAGACGAACAAGUGCAUUCCCAACUAAAACAAGUAAUUCAAAAGAGAAUUCAGAUGCAAGCAUACCUCGUUUUCAUCUGGGAACUUGGUACUCCCCAUGAAAAGCAUGUGUUCUGCAAAACAUUCAAUACGUAAGUAAUUCGGUCAUCCUUGGUUAAAAGGGUGUACGCUGAGUUGUGACACGAACCUAGAAAGUGUGCAAGCCCCUGUGCCUCAGGAGGAUCAGAGAAGCUGCCCAUUCCAACAAACAUUGCUGCUGCUGCCUGCAAACACCAUCAAACAUCAAAUUAAACAAAAUGCAUUCAUCCGACACUUGAGUCAACAUUGUGGGCUACAAGAAAUCCAACCUUCUUGGUCUGAAAAGCACCUCCCUUUAGCGUGUGCCCGGGUUGUGGGUAAAUAUCAGGGUCGUGAAGGAGCAAAGCAGUGAGGCCAUUCUCAAGCGUAAUCAAUCUGUACAGUUUCUUGUCAUUAGGAGACUUUAUCACAAUGUCGUCCGACGAGAAACUGCAGCGACCCAUCGAAAAGGGAAUGCUGUAAUCAAAUUUUCCUCGCUCUUUGAACAACAGAAUGUAAAAGUCUGAGUCUUCAUCUGCCGCGUUGAGAUUAUUUGACUCCUCUUCUCAAUUUUCCACAAAUGAGACCCUGGUGCCUGUCUUGCACAAUACCAAACUUGAUUUGGGCCUACGAAGUUUGGAGUCCUCUGUAUAUCAAAGAGUGUUCAGGCCCAACAAGAAAACUUGGUUUUGAACUAGGAGAAUGGAGUGAGGUUUGAACCAGGAGAAUGGAGUGAGGUUUGAACCAGGAGAAUGGAGUGAGGUAUGACAUAUGUAGUCAUAAUCCGUAAUGGUGUCGAGUUGGUAAGAGUUUAAUUGUGGUAACAGUGAACUUUGCUAUGCAAUUAAUCAUAUAAUAACAGGUAUGACAUAUAUUAUAGUUGUAUCAACUUUCAAACACUAUACAUCAGCUGCUUUCUAUUAUGUGGAUGGGAACCGAUAUAUGAGGCAACAGCAUAAACUCUUUCCAGCUCCUUUUCUUUUCUAGAGAAAAUCUUACGUGCGACAGCCGCACCACGUGAUUGACAUGUGUGACCUACCAGUCGCACAGCGACACGUGUUUUUGUUUUUUUAUGGCAGCUCUUCUUCUUCCUUCCUCUCUCUUCUCCGGCGAAACCGAUCCCUUCAGCUCCCUCUGCCCAUCCGUCGCCUAACCACCCCCCCCGGCGCCUCUACCAUAAGCCUGACAACCUGCCGCCGUCGAGCCGCACCUCCACCAACCUGUGCAAAUCACGCAGAGAGAGGAAGGAAGAAGAAGAGGGAGGAAGGAAGGAAGAAGAAGAGGACGAAAGAAGAAGAGUUGUGAAAAAGCUUCGCCGGAGGGGAUCUGUUUCGCCGGAGAAAGGAGGAAGAAGAAGAAGAAGGCAGGUGUAGGAAAAAAAAAAAACACGUGUCAAAGGAUGAUUGGGUGCACAUGUGCCAGGUGAUGCGGCUGUUGCACCUAAGAAUUUCUCUCUUUUCUAUUCUUUUUCUAUUCUUUUAACAGUUUCUUAAUUUCUUUGAGCAGUCUUCAGUGUUAUAUCUUGGCACUGAUAAAAUAGUUUGGGUUCAUAUUUAAAACCAAUUGACAAUGAAUAAAGUAGAAAGAGCACGAAAUUAAGACUGUAAUCCUGUAUUUGGACUGAUAUCUCAACAGACAAUAAAGAUAUACUUGGUAAUUAUGGACGCUUCUUUUAAUAUGCUAAAUGCAAACAUACAUGUAUGCUUUCUUGAAAGCUAAAAGCUGAUCGGGGAGUGCUGCUGCUGCAUGGGGUGUACGUAUGUUUGGUGUCGAAGAUUGCAUUUUGCGGGGGAGAUGGAGCUUUUUGAGGUAAGAUGGAGGAACAGAUUGAGAUGGAUCGAGAGCCCCAACUUUUUCAUUUGAACAGAGACUUGUAGGGUUUUUCUCUUCCACGUCUUCAUGUGUUUUCAGCCUCUUUAAUUUGAUGUUACUAAUUGGGAGGGACAUUAUAUCGAUCAAAUCUCACCUUUUCGUAAUGGUCGCAUCGUAUCCUAUGCGCAUAUACCAAGUACUCGAUUACUUCACUUUGCUAGUGAUCACGCUUAUACCUGUUAUAUAUAAAGCUUCCUUCUUAUGUUGACUCGCUACUACAAUCGUGGACCAAACUAAAGCGCGCACUUGGAUCUAUAUUUCUACUGCCUCUACUAUGUCUGCCAAGAGUUGAAUUGGUCGCCAUAAACUUUACCUCAAGCUAGAAAUUGAUCAAGAAGAUGAAAGAAGAAAAAUAAUUCAAGUGAGAAUUACUACGGGGGCAGCAAGUGAUAGAUGUGAUCAAUGCCGUACUAGUAGCUAGGUUUGCAUACCCCUUUGUUUUUGUUCGCCGGCCUCUGUCUUUCUUAAUGUGAAGGCCGACGUCAAAUUGUCUUGUACGUACUUGUUUGCACGUACACCCCUUUGCAGCUAGCCGUUGUAAACUGUAAAUUGAAAUUGAGAUUGAAAUUAGCAGUACUUUUGGGAGGGAAGGGACCUGUCAGUUUAGGGUGCUUAUUUGUAUCUGCUGGGACAUACAUACAUGUCCUCACUAGGCAAUUUGAGUUCAAGUUUUUAGCUUUGAUCAAGUAGCAUUUACUAAGUGUUUGGCCUUCCCCAGCACGUAUUGAUUGAAGACGCCAAAGGAUCCAGAUCGAUGCACUUCGAAAAGACAUAGUCAAUUAUAUGUCUUGUGAACCCUAGCAGACAAGCUAACGCAGAAUCCCUGCAAUUUCUGGUUCUUCAUAUAUAUGCAAAGAGAAAUUAAGCAUUUCAAACAUAGCCACACGGCCCACAUAUUACGUACGUACUGUUCCCAUGGAUAUACUAUUUGCUGGAUUUAUUUGAAGAUCGAAUGCGAUAUUAGGAAACCCUAAUUGUUUUGCUAAGUUUACACAUGGAAUAUCUGCUAAAGCUAGCUCCAGUGGUUAAUUAGUUCAAGUGGCAUGGUAAUGGAGAUAUAUGUGGGAAGAUAAGUUCAAGUGGCAUGGCAUGGUAAGGGCAUUUGAAGAGCCAGCGUGCAUUGCCUAACUUCGAAUUUGAUGAGUGACUAAUAGAGGAGAGUGGCAACGAUGGAGACGAGUCGUGAAUCCCCAACAUAUAUAUAUAUAUUUCAUUCUCAGUAAAUUUAGACGAGACUAACUAUGAUUGAUCCGACUAAUACUAUGUAUGUGUGACAUGCAUGAUCAUGUGAAGGAAGAACGCAAACACGUCUAAUUACCUGUUGAUUAGACUGAUGAUUGAUCAUACAAUAGGAUAAUACCGUCAAAAUACAAGGGUUUUUUUCCUCAAUAUUAACCACACCUGAAUUGGCUAAAUUAACAGUUAUCAGCAUCAAUUUUAAAGACGUACCCGCCAGUUGCAUUAAUCAUCUAGAUUGCGAAGAAAUUAAAUAAUUAGAGCUUUUACGUAGCCAGUUCUUAAGCAUAAUUAACAAGAAACAUAAUUAAACAUCUGAGAUCUUUCUCCCACUACGUAGCUAGUACUACUACAUAUAUCAAACAGACGAUGAAAGGCUGAAGCUGAAGCAGGGUGCAGCUAGCUAGCAACAUUGAAUUCGCUAGCUAGCUUACCCGAUCAGUAAGGAGAGACCCGCACAUUGUUAUUAGCCGCAGCGAAAAACCCAUUGUGAUCUUUCAUCAGAACGUCCUCUGCAGAUUCCUGCAAAUCGAUCAUCCAUCAAACAAAUCAAUUAGAAGAUAUAUGAUCAAGGGUUGUAUUAUCUCAUAUAUAUCUGGGUACUUUGAUUCUAACAUGCACCGAAUUAAGAGAAGAAAAAGAGAGAUCGAUCCAGGGUUAAUGGUAGAUCCUGGGGAAUUAAUGAACUUGAAAGGUUGAAGGUAAUUACUUACCUGCUGGCGCACAUUUGUCUUCUUCACAGUAGAAGUGUUCUGGUCAGGCAUGAGACCAAAGUGAAUGUGUGGAAAGUGGGCCCACUGUCAAAAGAAACAAAAACUCUGUCAAGAGAAGAGGUUCACAUAUCAAGGGACCCCACACAUGUCAAAGAGGAGCAAUAGUCCUAUUGGAAUCACAAACCUUCAGAAACCCUAGCUGGGAAGCUAUUAGCUAAUUUGGUAAAGACGAAGGGAAAGAAACAAAAGUAGUCGAGCCAGCUGCAGGUAAUUAAUAUUUUUAAUUUAUGAAAAAUAAAUAAAUAUAUUACAUUCUUAGCAGCUGCGCUGAAGGCUUCUCUAUGGGAUAUAUCAGGAUUCACAGACUUGAUGCGUUGGAUCUCGUCCCUGCAGGAUCGAUCAUAUAUACACAUCAAUAUACAGAUAUAUAUAUCAUCAGAGAUAUGAUGGACCAUUCAUGUUAUUGCUUCGUUAUUUCUGGAAAUAAUUUUUAUUAAUCAUUUUCCAAUAAUAUAUUGCAUUACAAAAACUAAAAUGUGUACGUGUAUGAGAGAGAGAGAGAGAGAGAGAGAGAGAGAGAGAGAGAGAGAGAUAUGAAGCUAGAAUCGAAAGGAUCGAUGAUCAUGAUUACUCACUUGAUGAAGCGGUUGUAGGCUGAGGGGACUCUCUGUCUCUUCUCCGGAGCUGAACAACGCAUUCAAAGACACAGACAUUAAGAAUCAUCUUCAUGACCUAGCUACCUUAUAAGUAUACUUAAUUAUGAUCCAGCAAUCUGCGACGUUAUCAAGUAACUAUAUACAAUUUGCGGCCGGGGAAGAAUGGUCUAAGGAAUUAUUGCCGGCCUGCUACAUUUCAGAGGGGAUUUAUACCAGAAAGGACCUAAAACAUGAUUAAUGAGGCUAAGUUCAUAAACUAUAAAAGAAUAUACCCAUAAAAGAAAAGCUUAAAGCAUCAUAUUUCAGAAGAGUGUCCGUCCUAUUACACUUUAAGCGUGCAAAUGGAAAAGAUGAAACAUUGGAACCGUCUUGUCAAGUAUACAUAUACAGAAGCUUUAGACACAUUAUGUCUCAGCUUAAUUACUAGAUUGUUCCUAUGCAUAAUUUCUUGAAUGUUGAAAAGGACUGAUGAAGUCUGUGAAAGUGUGAAGAAUUUCAUUUCUUUGGUCUGUUAACAACAAAUAAAUGUUUGAGGAAAGCUAGCAAAGUUAAAUUCUAGCUACUGAAAUCUUGCCUGCAACGGAAGCUAGCAUAGAAGGGGUUGAUUAUAAAUCUGCGAACUUGGUUUUAUCCUCGUCUACCAGAUAGAAAGACCUUGGUAACUUCAGGGAUUAGAGGGAAGAAUUAAAGAUGCCCAAACUUAUUAAACUUUUCUUCAAUGAGUACCAAAAUGAAACCAGAAAUGAACUAUCCUGGGUUCUAGACCAAAAUACUUCGUAGAAAGCUAUAUAAUAUAAUAUAGGGUCUACUAACAGCUACCCGUCUGAACUUAUAAGCUCUAGGGCUAGGUAAUUAACACAGAUAAUAAGAUCAAAAGUGAAAGGAUGCGUGUAAUUAAGGAAGAAAGUUGCUCACGUCUGUUAAUAACUGGAGGCCUUGGGAGCUCAUCAGCUACUCCUCCUCUUGGUCUUACAGCAAAGUCAUUCAGGCUGCUAGUUUGAUUGUUCAUCAGAAAGUUUGGGGUUGGAUUCAUUAACGGAAUCUCCUGAUCCUGAAGCACAAUAUUUACGGUGAAUUUACCAAUAUAUAGAAUCAAGUUUUUCAAAAGGUUAUUCGAUCAAGUGUAUAUAGGUAUACCAGAAGGUUAUGGGAAUUUGGCUGGGAGAAGAAGGAGUGACCGAGAUGAUGAAACUGAUUUGGGGAAGGCAGAAGCAACCCGCGCAUGUUCACCGGAAGCAGGUUGGUGCAGUGGCCACAUCGUACCGUCACAGUCUUGAACAAACUUGUGCAAGGAACACUCACCUGCAUACAUCAAACCAGAAACAUAAGCAGAACACAUAUAAAAUCAAUUGAAAGAGCAAAACAGCCCCCAAAACUAAGCCUAAACAGCAUAAUAUAUGGAAGAGAUUAACAGAAGAAACCAAGGAUGGAGGUUGAAUAUGGAGGUGGGGUUUACCGCAAGGACAGUGUCGCAAAUGUUGCAAUGGACAUAGCAGAGCUGCUCGGAAGGAGCAAGGUGGUCGAGGGACAAGGUCGAAGAAGCAGAAUUAGAGGAUGACAUGAUGAUUCCUUUUCCUAUCUUUUCUUUUAUAAAUUUGAUUGGUGAUUGAUGAUUGGUCUCUCUUUGGGGUUUGAUUGAUUGAUUGACGGAUGACAGCUUAACCACCACCUUGGAUCUGCUUUUCUACAAUUCUUUCUUUCUUUGAUUAUGAGUUGUGAAAGAAAGGUGUGAAACAAAGAGAGAGAUAGAGAGAGAGGUAGUGAGAGAGAGAGAGAGAGAGAGAGACAGAUGGGGAUCAAGGGAUAUCUAUUUGGUCUACUAGAUAUAAGAGAGCUGUGCUGGGAACCAGAGACCCUUCCAUUCUCUCCCCUCUAUUUAUUGGUGCUGUGUGAUUUUUUUUUUUACUGUGAUUAUCCUGUUGAUUCAUACUGUUCACCCAAUUAUUAUUGUCACUUCGAACUCCAAAAAAUUCUGGAGUUAGCUAGCUAGUAGUGAUUGUCUAAAGGGAUAUCGAUCACCUUCGAUCUGUAUUCCAAUACGUUAUGAACUCGUGAUUUAAGUUCAUUCUUGUCUAGUUUCUAACCAUAUAUACAUCAAACCGACCUCUAGGCUUUAGCUAGUUGUAUUUAUGUUGUUUAUACACUUGACUGAGACUAAAUAUAUGAUAAAAUAGUCUGGGGUUCACAUCUAAAACCAAUUGGCAAUAGAUGGAGUGGUCCAAACCCUUAUAAACCACAGGCAAUGUCCCAUUUUUUCUGAUGUGGGAUAUAUAUCUCAACACGCCCCCGCACGUGUGACGAAUCUUCAAGCCUAACACGUGGACAACAUUUGGGGUGACGUGGAGUUCGUGUGGCCUUUAGGCUUCACACGUGGACGUGGGUAACCCGCUCUGAUACUAUGAUAAAGUAGUCUGGGGUUCACAUCUAAAACCAAUUGGCAAUGAAUGAAUUGGCCGGCCCAAACCCUUAUAAAUCACAGACAAUGUCUCAUUUUUCCUGAUGUGGGAUAUAUAUCUCAACAAUAUAAAGAGUUAGGAUGUUAAAUUGUUAAACAUUACUAUAAUACUAACCCCUACUCAUAUAUUUACAAGAAAUUACAAAUGUGACAAAAAUUUGUUGUCUGAGUGCUAAUGUUGAUUACUGUUUCGUGUAAUCUUAGUUUUCGUAAUGGUAAUUAGACAACGUACAACAUUUUACAAGUCUUUGAACAGAUUCAUUGUCAGUGUUGUAAUUUUUGUUUAAAUUUACUAACUAGCCAGUGUACGUAAAUGAAUAAAUUAACUUUGUCAAGUAUAUGUACGUAUUGGGAUUUGACUAGAGUUGAAAAAUGUAUCAAGAAACAGCACUAAAUAUCACCACCGGUCGAUCAUCCGAUGUCUAUGACCGGCCAUGCAUGUAUAUAACGUCCAUGAUUCAUCAUCCAUGUCCAUGAUCACCAAAGAUAAACAUGCGCAUGCAUGGUGUUAAUUAUCCCAUAAUCAACACAGAUAUGUGGUUGGCACUCCCGAUGCCAUAGCUAAGCUGCUUAGCUAGCUCAGAGAGAGAGAGAGAGAGAGGCGGUAGAUGUGGGGGAGAGGAGCUCGAAAGAGACGUGUGCAUGGCGGUGAUAUUGCUUUCACACAAACACACAUACACAACACUCAUCAUCUGUUGUUUUCAGAACUUAAAGAGGGUGUUGUCUUCACUCUUGCGGUGCAGUUGGUUUUCAAAUUUUCUCUUUCGAGCUCGGCCUCAAUUUCCGAACCCACUCCCAAAAUAACUCCAUGACUCCCUUCUAUACCUCCCGGACAAUAAGCCCUUCUCCACCCCCUCUUUGUUUGGCCCUCCGCCCCCUUCUCCGCCUCGACAGGGCGCUCUCCUCGAUCCAUCUAUAUCUUCCUGCUUCCCUAUCCUCACCCCGUGAUGAUCAACCCCACCAACCCCAUCAUAACACAAUCAUGCAUACACGACUCGUAAUACAUAAUGCCAAAAUUUUCUAAUUCUGUAAAAUGAUUAAUUUCUAAUGUCUAUUAUAUAUAAAAGCUAGCUAGCUAGCUAUAGUACUGGAAUUCUGUAGACGUUCAGUGAUUUGACCACUCGAUCUCCCUCGUCUAACGCACAGCGCAGACAGAUACGUAUUUAAGUAGUCAGUACUCAGUAAGAAACAUAUAUCUCAGUAGCUAUAUUGCCAGGCACCUCCUUACCACCUUUGUCCUUUCCUAUAUUUAUUUCUGCUUUUCUUUUCUGGCUUCUCUUUUAGCUAUUUUGGUUAGAAUCUUUCUCUGAUCCUUUACAUAACUCUAGGGUUUUUGUUACAUAGUUUGCAAAGCCACCUAGCUAGCUAUAUACAGCUACCCUGUAACUAUCUUUGAAAAAAGAUAGUCGCCCAGUUCCCGUAGAUAUUUACCAUUGUUUCCUUGAUCGAUUAAUUAGGGUUCAAAGAUCGAUCAUGCGGAUCAAAUUUCCAGAACGAUCGCCAUCUUACCAUAAAUGGCCUAAUUGGAUUUCCUCUUCCC
Molecule: long non-coding RNA, 68553 nt
Filed under: Fragaria vesca (wild strawberry)
Lineage: Eukaryota; Viridiplantae; Streptophyta; Magnoliopsida; Rosales; Rosaceae
Description: long non-coding RNA (FVES_LNC002130)
Source: RNAcentral